This 44780-nucleotide long non-coding RNA is filed under the name Malus domestica (apple). Its description in RNAcentral is "long non-coding RNA (MDOM_LNC005358)". Lineage: Eukaryota; Viridiplantae; Streptophyta; Magnoliopsida; Rosales; Rosaceae. The record is from RNAcentral.
CUCUGGGCACGACGUUCGUUCUUUCUUCGUCGAUCGUUGGCCCUUUUUAAUAUGUUAUUUGCUAUGGAUUCAGAGUUUUUCACUUUUGGGUUUUAAUUAUUAUUAACUUGGUGAUGUGUAGAAGUGGAGGGAGAGUCGAGCAAGUUGACGAUGCCGAUGAGCCCCGGAACACCAGGUACCCCAGGCACCCCAGGCACACCGGCUUCCGCUCGUGCUAAAGACAACGUUUGGAGGAGUGUGUUCCACCCAGGUAGCAACCUUGCCACCAAAUCCAUGGGCAACCAGGUUUUCGACAAGCCACAGCCCAACUCUCCCACUGUCUACGACUGGUAUGUAUACGUAGCCUAACCCUAAUAACGCACGCAUAGAACUAGUUACAAAUUUUUAAUCGAAAAAAAAGAAAAAGAACCGAUAGAUACAAAUAUGGAUACUAUAAAAAAAGAACCGAUAGAUACAAAUAUGGAUACUAUAAGUACUGUGAUUAUAUACGUAAAGUUUGUGACCAGUUCUAUUUGUGCGUAUUUCGAAUAUUAACGUAAAUAGAUCUAAGCCGUAGAUCGAGGAUCUGUUUGUUGGGUUUAGAUCUAUAUGGUUUGUUGUUGCGAUCAUGGGUUAACCUUUUAUGUGUGAUGUGAUCUCACAGGCUCUACAGUGGCGAGACCAGGAGCAUCCAUCAUCGUUAAGGUGACGAAGAAACAACUGAGCUGACCAGCAGCCAGUCACCAGGGGCUGCAUGUAAAUAGUGUAUCUGUUCAUCUCAGUGUUUGCUACGUGCCCCGAUGAGGGUUUUCUGAUGGCAAUGCGAUUAGGUAUCCUUUUGGAUUUUGUACUUAGGGCUUUCUUCCAAGAGAGCUCACUGUCUUGGAAUUAUAUGUGAGAUUGUCGUAUGAACACUUGUGCGGUGAUGAUUGUUGGGUCAGAUCUACCGUUGGAUGGUUGUGAGGAGUUGCUGUCGUGUUUUUGCUAUAAUCAAAUAAAUAAAUAUCUUCUGGAUGUUAUUAAAUGUUAUGAUGACUCAAUUAUUUGGUUUUAUCGAUCACCGGAUUGAGUCAUUCGAAUCCUUAAAAUCUAAUUUAAGGUUAAAUUUAUUAUAAUUUUUAAAGGAAGUUAUGUUUUUAAUCGGUAAUUAAAUUUCAAAGGUUCGGAUCUUUUGAUCCGAUGAUCUUAGUGGAAGAGAUCCGAUUCUGAUUUUAUCUAUCCACACGAGAUUAGAAUCCAAUGAGGAUUGAGGACGACUUUAUACGCUUAAAUACAUAAAUACGUCAUCAUGGAAGUAUUUCAAAUUAAUAGCUUAUUAUACAGAAGAUAUUAGAUAUUUUAAAUCUUUUUUAAUAUUAUAAUAUAUGGUAUAUAGUCCUCGUAUUGUUAAUAAUUUGGUCUGUCCAUGUAAAGGGACCCACAUGUCUAUGGAUAAGGAAGGAGAGAGGAUUGCAAUUGAGACGUUACGUGAGGUUGGUGAGUGGGGCCCAUUGGAAAGUGACAAAUUAUGAUACAUUAUCUUUUAUCAUAAUCAAUAAUGGAGUCACUAAUCACUAUAGUUCAUAUAGUCCAUAAUAAAAUGGAAUCAUGGAAAUGGGAGAUUCAUCUAUUUCUUUUUGGAGGUAGAUUGUCUGUCCUCCUUUUAUCAUGUUUUUUUUCAUUAUUUCCUAUUUGUGCAACCAUAGUUAAAUUACGUUAACAUGUUUUAUUAUCUUUAUAAAAAAUUAAUAUAAAAUGUUGACGUGACUUAAUUAUGAUCGCACAAUGUAGGAGAUAAAGGGAAGGGCAUGGUAAUGGGAGGGCAGACAAUCUGCCUCCAUUCUUUUUUGUUCCAAGGACAAAUUAGGUGGGGGCUAGGCUUCGUUUUGGUGCGUUGGAUUGAAUUGAAAUGUUGCUUGCAAAACAAUUUACAAAACCCGUAGAUUGUAACGUCUCGUCAGUAAGACAAUAUAAUAAUACAUUUCAUUAUUGGUGGAAUCAUCAAAAAGCUACUGUAACGUUUCUCGUCAAUAAUACAAUACUUUUUUAACACCCCGCACAUUGUAUUAUUGGUGACGUCCUGCAACGCAUGUAAAUCUCUCUCGUUGUUGAGUGAUUAGAUUGGAUUAUAUAGAAAAUGAAUUUUGAGAGGGAGGGAGCGAGUUUACUUUCAACUUUGGGAUACUGCCUGAUUGAAAAGACUAUUUUACCCAUACCUAUUAUUCAUUCUCACACUCCUCAAUUUUCGAUCAUAAGAUUGAAUAAAAUGAAGAAGAACAAACAUUUAAUAAGUGUACGCGAGAGGUAAAAAUGAGGUUAUAAAUAGCACUACCCAAUUCAUAUUAUAUAAGUACAUAAAAUAACAGUUGAGUUGGUAACAAGCUCGGAGCAUGACAUGGCGAUUUGCAUCUGCAUCCAAAUUGCUCUGUACUUGGCGGCGAGUUUCUAAAGCAGACACUCUCUUCUAUUCAACAACAUAUGCCAGCAGCUGGGUGAUCACAAUAGACAUAAAAGGAGAAGGAGAAGGAGAAGGUAGAACCACUUGUUUUCAGAUUUCUCGUCAUCGUCGGCUUCAGUUCCACUUCUUCUGAUAUGCCAAAAUCUGCAAAAAUCAUACAUACAAAUACGCACAAUAUUAAGAAAGUAAGGAAAUUUUUAAAAACUUCUAGACUCUCUUUCUUGAUGCGCAAGCCUUCGUCGCGCACAAGUUUCCGCUAGCUCUAUUGGUCGUGUGAACUUUGAAAGAAGUGCUCACUGCUCACCAGAUAGCCAGGAAUGAGAUUGUGAGUUCUAAGUUCUGCCAAAGUUUCUUCUUCUUUUAAAAGUUGCAGGUUUUCUUUGCUUGAAUCCAGAACAAGAGACUUGGAAAUUUGAAUAUUGGUGGCAGUUGAAUGACUGAAUUCGGCAUGCAGCUCUUUCACCAAGUAUAUUUCAACUUCUUCAGCUUGACACGCCGUUCGGAGAGCUACAUACUGUGUACAAAUAAAACCAGUUUCGGUAUGGUGAUGAAAUCUUCGGAGAUCCGAGAUUGUGAAAAAGCCAUCAAAUGAAAAAAAAAAUGCAACAAACAGCUGAAGGAUCACCUGACAUAGUUGUCCAACUGACAGAGUAGACCUGCAGCAAAGAUACGGCCGCUGCAAACUUGGUAUUCUUUGCUCAUCCAAAGACACAAGCAGGAGGUGGAUGUCCAACUGAAAGAAAUGAGAAAACGUUUGAUCCAACCAUCUCGGUACUGAAGCAGAUUGCCAGAUAAAAAGUCUAAAUACACAUCAUAUAUACAUAGCGUGUGUGAAGGAAUGAUCUCAAAAGGCACUGCUCACAGUCCCCUAUCACAGAAGAGUCAUGACAAGAUCGUCAGCCUAAACUCUAGAUUACCUCGUCAUCAUUAUCUCCUGGGUUUCGAAGAUACUCUACCAACUUAGAGAGACGGAUGUUCCUGGCAUUUUUACCACUGCCACCACUUGUACUGCCAUACCGUGUAUGACUCCGCAUGCCACCUUUUCCCCAGGAAAGCCUCUCUGAGCUGCCAACACGCCCCACAGAUGCACCCAGAAUCUCUGAUUUGUUCAUUUCAUAAUCAUUUUCAUCAUCACUAUCUGCAUUAGCAGCUGCCGAUGAGGGCUGAUAAUAUCGAUCUCCUCUCCAUCUUUUGGAUCUCUUCGGUCUUGGUUCUGUGCGCUCAUCACCCGAAGAUAAAUCUCUACCACAAUCAUCACCAUUUACAUCCUCAUUGUCAUUCGACCCUUGAUGUUCAGCAACAUUUCUAUAGCUCCUUCUCCCCCUCGCAUUUCGAUAGCUACCCCGUGAUCUCCUCAUAAAUGCAGCUGCUGUGGCUUUAGCUGUUGUUCGUUUCCUUCCUAGUGCCUCGGUUUGCCGUCGAAAUGUCUGGGCAAUGGAAGCUUGGAUCUGUGCAAAUAAGCUCAAAGAUCAAGGGCCCGAAGUAACAAACUAAGAACAAAAAGAAAUCUCUAUACAGUUCCACUAACUUCAUGGUGACGAGUAACACCUAAAUGAUGAAAAUGCGAUGAUUCUAGUGUAAUACCUUAUUAUGUACAAAUUGCAUUGUUUUCGGUAAUGAGACACAGAUGAGACCCACAUACAAGUAGAUAAUCAAGUCUUAACUAAAAGUUUCAAGGAAUGACUGUUCCAGGGUUUUACAAAACCAGAGAACUCAUCAAUUGCAUGAGAAAACUAGAAUAACUCGCCGUUUGUUAUUUUUCUUUAUUUAGGGUUAACUUCCAAUUAAACCAUAUACUUAUUAACCCUAAAAGAAACUUGAAACUUGAAUAGUCACCUGCUUAUUGCGAGCCUUCUCCUCUUCAUGAAAAGCCAAUUCCUACAGGAGGUAAUCAACCGUCAGUUCUCUCAGUUAUAAUUUAACUUACAAAAAACAAAAUUUACAGUUGAGAUGUUGUAAAUCAGCAUCGUAGUACCUCUUCCUCAUACUUGUCAAUAUCCGGAUAUAUAGCUGCAAUUAAGGAGUCGUAAUUUGGGUCAUCUCUCAAAGAGCGACGACUUGCACAAUGGGUGCGGCAGGCAGGGCAUUCAUUGUUCCUGCAGCGAAACCCAGUUACCAGUAUUGAGAAGUAAAGCCACAAACUCAAAUUUUCUAAUACUUUGUGACAUCCUCCAAACAAAAUCUGUAUGACAAAAAUAACUUGAACGUUCAUUUGAAUUAAAAAGGAAAAAGUAAUAGUUUGAAGACAUACCCCAGGCGCAUGGACUUGUCAAUGCAUUCCCUGCAGAAGCGAUGCAGGCAUUCCAUCACUGUCCUUGUUUUCCGAAUGAUCCCUAUAGAUACCAAUCGGUAAAUGAAUUUCUUUUCUUUUCCAAUGUACGAAUGUAAAAGGGACCAAUGAGUACUUUGCUUGAUAUAGUCUGAUGAAUUGUCUCAAUAUUUAGAAAAAUUCCAAUAUGAACAAAGAACUAUUGGAUGUGAAAAUUCUCAAUCUUUGGACAUUAAUUUCAGCCUGCAUAAUUAACAUAGAUUUAGACCGUCCAAAUGGUUUUAAGUUAUAUUGGCACAUCAAUAAGGCUGCUUGUGUUUAUCAGAGGAAGAUAUUCAAAAGAUAAUAUAAAAAUUUAAGGCUUUAAAUAUAAAGCUGAGGAUAUAAUUCUAUUUCUUCCAUUGAAUUUACCAUGACAUAGAAACUUAUGUACUUCCGUUAACAGAGUUAUGGGCCAAAAAAAAGAGAAAAUAAUAAGUUUGACAGCAUUGAUGCUUUGUUGAGCUGAGAUGACUGUCUUUCAAUUAGUAUGUAACUACCUAUGAGCUACUAUCAUGAAAAUGUGACUCUGCAUGUGAAAAGAGUAAUUCUGUUGAAGAAUGUAAUCCAUAAAUUCUAACAUCUAUAAAAAAAACCUAACAACUGCAAUUUUAGGGAAGAAGAUAUAAGUACCAACUCAGAGUCGCCACAGAAUUUGCAAAUAUAACUCUUAGAUAUUUUUUUGGAUAAAAUAUUUUACAAAUUACACAAAAAAUUUCUGUCUUUAAAUUAUAUUCUUGUAAAAAGAAACAACCACAAACUUCUGAGAAAAUAAGACAAAUAUUGAGCUCUCUACUAUACCCAACUGCAAAUUUUAUGCAGUAUAAAAACGUUAAAAACAAAAAAUUUCAUGUCUAUGUCAGCAGAGCAAACACAUUGAUAGUGGGCAUGGGAUUUCUCAUAAGGGUUUAUGGAUAAAGUUGAAACAGAAAACAGCAGAACCAAAUAUCACUAGAUUCACAACCCUGUAUUGGUAGCUGAUGUUUCGGCACUGACAAAGUGGUACAUACAAUACAUGGUUUCGGACAAGUUAAACAAAACCAAUAUUUCUGACUUGUAUGCAAGAAUUUUUUUAGACAAAGGCAUUUCAAGAUAUUCUAAUAUCAAUGCUGCAACACAACAAACGACAUAAGCAUGCGAAGCGAAUAUGAUGUUCUAGAACUGAACUAUCAACUUCCCUUUGAUAAUAGAUAAUAAACUUUACUCUAUGCUGGUACCCAACAAUAUUACCUUUUACAAAAAAAUAGAACCAGAAGAGAUCAAAAUGCUUACUUGCCAUCUUGAUUCAGUUAUAAUCCAAAAUUUAGUAUGCCAAGACAUACCUAAACAGAUGGGGCACUGGACUUCUUUCCGAAUUUCUGCCAAUUUCACUAUGACAAAUCUGUGCAUAUUACCAAUAAAAAGAAAAAUUAGCAUAGAGCGGAUGUAAUGUAUAAUAUGUCGGUUGCCCUUUGUGCAAGUUUUUAUUUUUGCACGCUUAUAAUUAUACAAAGAAUGAAAAAUGUGUGCACUCCAAUUUCUCAGAGGGAAAUACAGAACCUAGCACAAAAGAGAGAAAAAUAUGAAAGUACAGAUUUUCUGCAGAAAGAGCAUCUGUAAGCAUAGCCAACCCCACCUCGAGCCAUGAUCAGAUAAAAUAAAUCAUUGAUCAUUUUAUAAUACUGAUUUCGUCCUCAAGCAUAAAUCCAUCAUUACAUGGAACUUUUCAUACCAUUUCAUCAGCCUGGACAACACAAAUGCAUAUCGAAACUAAAACAUAAACUGCUGCAUGUUGUGGGGUUGCAUUUUGCAAGCAGCAUACAAAUGCCCAAUUCAGCAUGCAUAUUGACGUUAUUGCCAGCAUUGUUUACCAUAUCCCAAAACGAAAAUAAGAACGUUAGUUGCUUUCUUUUAUAAACAUGUCAACAAUUCUAUCUAACGAGUAAAAACUAGCAAGCUUGGCGUGGUAAAUAUUCUGUAAGUAAAACACUUCUAUGUGGAAGUUUAGCAGAACAAUGAGAACCCAGUAGAGUAAGCAGAUUGUUUGUUCCUUCAGCCAAGCACCAACAAGACUGAGAGAGUGAGAAUUUCUGCUCGAAAUGACCCAACAAUCAUCGAAAAUUUUGACAAGAAGCGAAACGAAAAUGAUCAGAAUCUGCAGCUAAUGAGCAAACCAGAUUGGGCAACAUGCUUGAACCACCCAUGCACGAUGGAAUUUGAAGCUCGAAUUCAAAAGAUCCAAAACCCAACUCCACCAACCUUCUUCCCAACACAAACACGGCAAUCCAUCCCAGAAAAACAGAAGAGAAAACCCACAUCAACCCAAAAGCCAUUGCUUUCACAGUGGCAUACACACGUCAAUCCACCCAGCUCAAACCCAGCAACCGCUCGAUUACCACAAACAAAACAAAACCCAGCACGAAGAUAAGCAUGCAGAUCCCAAAUCACACCCAGCAUUCAAACAUCAAACAGUUACACAAUAAACGGAAACGACCACCAAAAACAGAAGAACGAGAAAAGCAAUGAAGAUAAAAAGAGAGAAAAAGCUCACUCGUCUUUCUCUUCGGUGCUCUGCGACGGGCUUCGAUCGGACUCUGAGGAGCAAAAGGGAAGAGAGAGAACAGAUGAAGCAACAGCACAGAGAAUCAGAGAAAACAAAAAUCCAAAAACCAUGUGAGGGGGAAGAAACGUGCGAGUACGGUGUUUGUAUAUGCGGUGGGUUGGAAAAAUCUAGAGUUGGGUUUGGGCGUUGGGAGAAAUAAGACGUACCCUCUUCGUCUUGCGGCGUUUCGUGGCUGUUUUCGCGGUGGUUCUGCGGAGGAUCAUCUUCCAUGGCCUCAUGGGUGCGCUUCUGUGCCGGCAUUGCUCUGGUUUGCAGCGGAACUUUAGCAAGGAACGGAACCGUUGUGAGUGAGGUAAAAUUGUUAGCUGAUUGUGGUGCUCUCGGAGAGAGGAGAUAGAGAGGUAUGAAGGUGGCGGUGGUCGGCGGUAGUGGGUGGUGGAGUGUGGCUGACCAGAGAGAGGCGGAGGGGCAGAGGCUCGUGGUCUUACCGAAAAUUCUUCUAUUUAUAAAAAAUAAAAUAAAAAAUAAAAAAAUAAAAAAAGAUGGAGACAAUUCAAGCUUGGGUCUUCAGUUAACACGUGUAUAUGCAGGGGUAAUAUGGUAAAUAUAUCUUACUUUUUUGCUUUACUUUUUUGUUUUUGUUUUUGUUUUUUUAAUCUUUGGGUUUACGUUUAGUUGCUGGCAAUUCCUGGAUUUGUAGUAAAAAUAAAAUCAUAAAAAUUAAAAAUUAAAAAAAAUAAAAUUAAAAUAAAAACUCUCUAAUAGAACAAUUAUUCUUUCAUGUUACGUAUUAAUUAAUGAUCUAAAAAAUUUAACGAUUAAUUUUGCAUGCAGAAAUAUAACAAAUUUGUAUAAAGAUUAAAUUUUGCAUAAAACCUAUACCAUUUAUUGAUACUAUCGUCGGAAAUAUAGAAAGGAGAAUAUGGAUUGAUUAACUAACAUGCACCCGAAUCUUAUUUUCUCUUUAAUUUCUCCCUAUUGCCACCGACUUGUUAUUGUUAAAUUUGUUCUUACUAAACUAUCCCUAAACCGAUACAAGUCCAUUAUCAAUCUAUCAGAUUUGGAGUUUCAUGUUUUCUUAACAUUUUUGUUUUGGUUUUGAACCUUUUUCGCCAAAUACUUCAGUAAUAAUAUCUAAGUUUGAAAUUGAGAUUCGCAAUAAUUUUUUACGUUAAAGUUGAGCGCAUUGAGUAAGGUACAAUAUAAGUAUGACUAGAGACUAGCCAAAGUAACACGUUUGACAUUCAUUGGAAGAUACUGAGUUUGUCAGAGUGUUAGAUAAGUAAAUUGUGACUUAUUAUUCCAUGUUUGACGUCUCUUAUGCUUAUUUUUCAACUGAAAGCACCAUGUAUCUACAUGUAUAUUCAAGAUCUAACCAAUAAAGUAUCUAUAAGACGAUGCUUUAUUCAUCUAAUACGCCAAUACUCUCCUAAACAAUCAUACAGAGGGGAAAUUGGUAAAAGUGUCCACUUGUUUCUGUUUGAUUGAAUUCUGGUGCCCCUUGGAAAUGAAUGACUUGAUUGUGUCUGCAUGUCAUUUCAUUUGGCCUUUUAUACAAUCCAGUCAAGAUUUAAUAUACAUAAAGGGAUUUAACAAAUAGCAUGACAAUGUUGAAACUGAAAAAGAACGGUAUGCAUAGAUACAGUUUAUGCAGAUCCUAUGCUUCAAGUUUUCUUCGUAUACUCGCGCUGCAUUACUGAUGCAUAUAGUUCUGAAAAAUGGACGUUGGAUCUUAUAGUGCCACAGUUGGGCGGGAGGAACUGUACGUAUGUCCUUGCCUCUGUUGUGCAAUUUUUGUUUCCCACCCCUCCAAUAAGGGUAUCUCCAACUGAAGGUUGAUCAGAAGACUCGUUUUAGCCCUUUGGUCAUUCAAGAAAUUAAUAUUUUAAUGAACGUGCAUGGCCAAAUUUCUUACUAUCUCCAACCGAGGGCCAUGUCACAAAAAACCGUCUCCAACUGAGGACCAAAGGGCUAUAGUAUGAAAUGUGAAAAAUUGAAAUAAAAUGAGGUAAGAUAGUAUAGAUAAGUGAAAAAUAUGUGAGAAAUGGUGUAGGAAAAAAAUUAGAAAAAAAAAAAAAAAGUGGGCUGGGCAUAAAAAGCAAAAAAUGGGCUGGAACAAAAAAAAAUAAAACCUAAACCCUAAACCCUAAAGUGGGGCAAAUGGAAAAGAACAAAAAAAAUAAAAAAAAUAAAAAAAUAGGGCUAGGCAACGGGCUGGCUAAAGAUGACCAGCCGAUUGACUCUUUGCCCUUUUUUGUCUAGUGGGGUCCACAAGCCCUUGGGCCUGACCUUCGGUUGAAGACAAUUUUCGGGCUAUUUUCGGCCAUCUGGACCUUUCGGUUGGAGAUGGCCUAAUUGGCUUGUUUGUUUGCUUGAUUUAAAAAGUCCUCUUAUGCUUCAUGUCCUGAAUCCUGAUUGAGUUUAAUCACAUUAGGUUUCUCCCCAUCAACUUGUUCUGGUGUUGUCACAAAAGUUUUAAAGUGAAAGUUUCCGCUCUCAUAUCAAACGAACCAACCGGGAAAUACACAAGGAGAUUUUCCUGCGAUGCUUGAAGUUGAAACAGCAUCUGCUGUCCAUCCUGGUGGUAGUGGUGGCGCUGUCGUUAAUUCAGAGGGUCAUAUGAUCGGACUUGUUACAAGGUAUGAAGAACUAAAUUGUUGUAUGCUGGUUGUCUUUAAUUAUUUUGCUCUGUGUACGGCAUGUUUUAUAAGAAUCAUAUCCAAAGCAGUGUAGUUGGUUAACUAAAUCAACAUGACAGAUUUGCACUUUCAAUGGUAUGUGUCUUGAUCAGAAGACGCUGAAGUUUGUUAUUUCUACCAACGUGUUGCGUAUCUACGUUGUUAUUGAAGCUGCUUUCAGUGUCAUCAUCGUCCAUUCAGAUCUUAGACGUGUUCAUUUGAUUUAUAUAAGCCUGUUUAAUGAGAUAUAUUCUUGAAACAGUAAUGCAAGGCAUGGUGGAGGAACAGUUAUACCGCAUCUGAACUUCAGCAUUCCAUGUGCUGCUCUUCUGCCCAUCUUCAAGUUCUCAAAAUGUUAUUUAGUCAACUUCUUAUUUCGCACGUACUGGUCGUUUAAAUUCAUUUUCUGUGCUUGAAUUUUUGUUUUAUUGUUGGUGGCAUACCGUAUAAGAUGUGUGGUGGAACUUGGUUCUUUUUUAGCAGCCGAAGGUAAGCAAUCCUGAGAGAUCUGACUACUGCAGUUUUUGUUGCACAGACAUGCAGGAUCUUUCACUUCUCCAAGUUCUUGACCAACCAAGCCGUUGUCUUUCUUCUGUAUGGGCGUUGAUGCCACCUCUGUCUCCCAAACCCCCUCCUUUGCCGCCUCAUAUUCCACCCUCUUUACUACAAGAUAACAACAAAGAAUCAAAAGGCUCUCGUUUGAAAGAUUUGUCGCCGAAAGAAAAUAUGUGUUUGAAAAGCCAUCCCAACUUGGCAAGGCAAGAAAACUUCCUAACAAUGUUGUUCAUAGCAAGUUAUGACGUGCCAGCAUCCUGCAGAUAUCUACUGUAGUACAUCAUAUAUGCAGCAUGAAUUUGAUGCAACUUGCAGUAAAAACCGUAUGAUUUUAAUUCUACCCUAUUUUGCGUUCAAUAUUGUGGGAAUGACUUCGGCGCAUGGUAUGUGAAUGCUCUUAAACCAAUUCAUCAACGAUCCUGUGCAAUCCGUAUGAUAACUUUCUUAAUCGUCUUCUUGUUCCACCUUUCCGCUAUUCUUUUGCGGCCUUUUUUAUACAAAAAUAUAUUUACAGUAAGGAGUAAGAGAGUGAAAUAAAGUACCAACAAUGCUUUAGGAUCUGUUUGGUAUCCUAUUCGAAAAUUUUAUCAUUUCUUAAAAUAUUUCUUGAGAACAUUUCUUGAAAUCAAUUUUUUUUAAGAUUCAAAAAGAUGAUUGGUUUGCGAUUUAAAAAUUUUAAACCUUACGACUUAAACUAGACAAAGAGAUCUAAAAAGAAGGGAUCGCAAGAGAGGGAGAAAGAAGAGAGAGAGGAGGAAAUAAAGUAAGAGAUGAUUGAAGGAAAGAGAAAGAAAUGAGAGGAUCGGACGAGAUAAAGAGAAAGAAGAGUGAGAGAAAGAACCAAAAGAAUGAAGAUAACGAAUUGGAUGAGAGACGAAAAAGGUAAAAAAAAGAGGAAAGAGAAAGAAGAAAAGAGUGAGAGAUAGAUUUGGAGUGGGAGGGGAGAAAGGAGAGAAAAUAAAUGAGUGAAUUUAAGUUUAAAAACUCUAAAAACUUACUUUUUAUGUUUUUAGAGAAUAUACUAUUUUUUUUAGUUAGUCUUAAGUUCAGUUUUUGAAAAUAGUCCUACCAAACAAGUUUUUAAAAUCUAAAACUUGAAAAUUGUUUUUGAGUUUAAAAUGUUGAAUUUAAGUAAAGUACCAAACAUACCCUUAGUUUCUUGUGAAAAAUGCAUCCUUGUCAGUUGAAAAGUAUGCUAUUGGAGCCAGAAUUUUUCUUGUUAAGUGAGUCUCACGCUAUUGGAGCCUUAUGAUUGGGCUAAUAUGGCCUUGUAAAGGAGAAAUUUUUUAGUAUGCUGAAAACAUAAUUCGGUACUAAGUGUUAUAUAAUUAGUUGAAAACUAUAAAAAAAAAAAAAAAAAUUCUACCCAAACUACUACUCCGUUAGUAGUCUAAUCUUUUAUUUGUCUCACUAACCUGGCCCAGAAAAAGAAAAAACGCCUAUCAUCCCAUUUGCUCUUGGGUAUUCCAAUACCCUUUCAUGAUGUCGCGUUUGAAUCCUUGAGAAUGAAUGCAUGAUAUUUAAUGUAUUGAAUUUUGUUCUCGACAAAAAUUUCUCCUCACAAAUGCUUAAACUUCAAUUUGAGUAGAUAAAUUUUGUUGAGCUAAAAACUGUGUUUUCAGUUUUGAGGCUCGAACAUGUUAUCUUCAGGUCCUGUUUGGUACGUGGGACGGGACAGAAUGGAGUGGGAUGAGACAUUCUGUUUCAUGUUUGGUGCGCCUAAAACAGAUGGAAAGCGACGUUUCACAUGACGAAUUUUAGGUGAAUUUUUGUUCUACCUUACCCCUGGAAUGAUUCGUUCCACAUCUGUGGAACACAAAAUUAUAACAUCUCCGUCUCCUUCUUCUUCCUCCUUGUUUCCAUCCAAGGACAUUUUUUAUCCCUCUCCAUUCCCUCCCGUCCCGUCCCGUCUCAUUCCGUUUUAUCCCAUCCCGUUUGCAUACCAAUCGAUACGUCGGACAGUGGGUCUUGUGUCACAUCGCACUUACCAAAACCAAUCGCACAAUAUUUGCGAUUUUCCCAAAACAGCCCAAUAAAAUUUUGUAUGCGGCGGUCCUGACCCAGAGACUCGCCUCUCGUCUCUCGCGCCGCCGCCUCUCUGGUCUUAGCUAUUUCAACAAUCCCAGAAAUAACACAAGCCAAUUCGCACAGAGAGAAAGAGAGAGAAAUGGCGGACAGCUCCGGUUACAAGGAGUACGUUGCGGGCUUGAUCGCCGGCGUGGCCACCGUUGGAAUCGGCCAUCCCUUUGACACCGUCAAGGUAAAAUCACAUCUCUUUGAUUUUGUCAACUUUCAGUGGGUUUAAUGCUGGUGAGGUUUACUUUAAUGGGUGUUGCUUGAAAAUUUGAUAGAAUUUGGAAGUAAAAUGUGUUAAACAAUGCCAAAGUUUAGUUUUUGGAAUCUGGGUAGUUUAAAUUUUGAUCGGAAAAUGUUUGGAUUAGUAUCAUAUUAGUGGAAAGAAUCAAAAUUUAGAUGAUAUACUAAACUUGGUUUUAGUAGCAACUUACAGAGCUUAAUUUUCCUUUAGGUAUACAUUGUUGCCCUGUUUUCUUAUUAGCUUGAUAUUCUGUAAAUUUACCUUGGCCAAGCUGUAAUCUUUCGAUCCAUUCGUCGUCUUGUCACAUCUGUAGUUGAUGAUUUCAGGAUAUUGUUUACCUCUAAGAUUAUCUUUUGUGAACUGUUAAAAUGUAUGGACAAUUUCUCUUUAUGUGUCAAUUGUGCUUCCCGUUAAGGUUGUCUCUGAAUGUUGAAUUAGGUUAAGAUGCAAAAACACAACACUUCAGCACACGGGAUUACGUACAGGAAUAGUUUGCAUUGCACUGCAAGGAUACUAAGGACUGAAGGCGUAUGAUUCUGAACUUUAUCUAGCUGAAUAUCUCUAAUGUAACGAUCUAGAACCAUUUUUCUUUCGGAAAGGGUGCCAAUGUUAUAGAAUUUGAGUUUCCGCAUCAUCUUUUCCAGGAGAGCUGACUGAUAUUGGGUCCUUAACAGAUUAAAGGACUUUACAGAGGGGCGACAUCAUCUUUUGUGGGGAUGGCUUUUGAGAGUUCAGUUGUUUUCGGCAUGUAUUCCCAGAUCAAACAGUCACUGCAGGUUUCAACGAAAAUAAAGUGGACAAUCUUUGUUUAUUUUAUUUUGUAAUGAUCUGGAUAAUGGCUUCUGUUAGAUGCAUAAUAGCGAACCGGUUUAGUGACUUUAUUGAUACGACUUCUAUAAAGAUAUUGUAUAUCUGUUAUGGUUCUUAUGUGACGUUCUUCUGAAUUGCAAUGACACUUGAAGGGAAGUGCCCAAGGUGCAGGUCCACAGCCGAAGGUCAUAAUUCCAUCUGCAGCUUUUAGUGGAUCAGUCAUCAGUUUUAUAUUAUGCCCCUCGGAGCUGGUGAAGGUAUGAGGAAUUGGAUGGUUUUUAGAUUGUUCCGUUGCUUCUCACGGUAUACUUAUUGCACUGCUUUUUUCCAGUGUAGGAUGCAAAUUCAAGGCACAGACUCUGUGGUCCCAAUGUCUAGAAGAUAUGGCAAUCCUCUUGAUUGUGUCCUUACAACUGUGAAAAAUGAUGGGGUAAGAAAAUACUGUUAUUUCUGGCGACAAUGGCAAGCAUAACUUUUUAUGAUCAUUUUAGGUGAUUGAAUGCUUUUCAGGUUAGAGGAAUAUUUCGAGGAGGUUUUACGACAUUGUUAAGAGAAUGUAUUGGAAAUGCGGUCUUCUUCAGCAUUUAUGAGUAUGUCCGCUAUCACAUGCAUUUACAAUUGAAAUCUGCUUCAACUGACCACAGAAACUUGAUUGACGUGGGAGUUGGGAUUGCUAGUGGUGGCCUUGGUGGUAUAGCAGUAUGCAUCUUCACAAUUUAACGUUCUCUAGUACACAAGCUCACAUUCUUAUUCCACUAGACUUAUAAAUUCUGAUGUUCUCACCCUAUGUCCAGUUUUGGUUGGCUGUUCUACCCUUGGACGUGGCAAAAACCAUAAUUCAGACGACUCCAGAUAAGAACGCAACAAGAAAUCCAUUUCAAAUCUUGAGCUUGGUAAGGACACCCCUUUCUCUCUCUCUCUCUCUCUCUCUCUCUCUCCUCUCUCUCUCUCUCUCUCUCUCUCUCCCAAUCCCCCGGAAAAUGUUUAAAUUGGCCUUUGUUCUUUUUUCCUCUGUAGAUUUACAGAAGGGCUGGAUUGAAAGGAUGCUAUAUUGGCUUGGGUCCUACUAUUGUUCGGGCUUUUCCUGCUAAUGCAGCAGCAAUCGUCACCUGGGAGUUGGCCAUAAAACUAUUAGGCAUCAAGCGCGACUAAGCAUUUCUCUACAAUAACCAAAUGCUUCCAACCUGUUUGGCAACUUUUAAACCGCAUUCAGCAAGAGAAAAUUCUUUCACUCAGAUGAACUCCAAGGGUGUUACUAUGCAUUGUUUUCUCGAUUUAAGGAGCUCGAACAUUUUUUCUACAAGAAAAUAUCAGAGAUUGGAGUGGUUUGUUGUGAGAUUUUUUUUGUAAUGAUUGUUGAAAAGUUUGUAUCAAGGAUUUCACAUGUUUUAUUGUAAUUUCUGUCAGCUGAAAUAGAAGUUUUUCUAACAAAGCAGCCAAGAAGUUUUCGUUGGUGUUUUUCUGUUCUUGAUAUUACAAUUUUUUGAAAGAUUAGAGAGAAAGGUCUGGACAUGGCUAAUUCAUAUGGUAAAUUUGAUAGCCCUCCCCGUCCCGUCACACCCGAAAUGUGAUGAUGUAUAUAUAUAUGCUGUAAUAUGAGUGAAUGUGUUCAUAUUUGUGGCUAUAUUGGUAUCAACAAGUAAAAUACAUGCUAAACAUAAUUAGAUUGGUAAUAUUAACGAACACUGUGACGGUUCAUUUCACGUACAUGUUAUUCAUAACAUAAUAAUAAGAAAGAUCUUAGGACAAAAUACCAUGAUAAUGUAUGAUAAAAGUUAGUGACAAAUUAAAGCAUGUGAAGAAAACAAGAAUUAUCGUUACCAACUGAACAGAUCAAGUGGUAGGGUUGUUUCAAAUCACAGCCAAGAAUCAUGAAGCACAAUUUCAAGGUUCAAAAUUGUGCUAGCAAAGAAGCCAAUAUUCCUUAAUUAAUGCAUACCGGGGGGCCCGGGGGGUGGGGUGUGGGAGUUUCAGUGGUGCAUACGUAUAAUGAAGGCCGAGGGUUGACAGAAGAUAGGGAGCUUAUCGUAUGCUUAGUAGAAACUAAUAAGGGCUCGUUUGAAUGUGUUUUUAAAAUGGUUAAAAGUAAGUCAAUCUUCCUUAAUUAAUGCACACUGGGGGGGGGGAAGGCCGAGGGUUGACAGAAGAUAGGGAGCUUAUCGUAUGCUAGAUGGAAACUAAUAAGAGCUCGUUUGGAUGUGUUUUUAAAAUGGUUAAAAGUACUUUUAAAGAAAAUAUUUUUUGGUUCUAAAAGCACUUAAAAUGUUUUCUGCAAUAAGCACUAAUUAUGUACUUCUUCCAGGAAGCACUUUAAGUGCUUUUCAGAAUUUACUUGCAUUUUUACUAAGGAUUAGUUCUAAAAACAUUUUCAACAAAAGCGCUUUCAGUUAUUUAAAAAACACAUCCAAACAAGUACUAAAUUAAUUAGAAAUGCCGCCUCCAUGUCCAUGUUAUUGUAGGGAGGUCUUCCGACGCCGCUCAUUGUGUCCAGCUAAUCGCCGGCGACAACUCCUUUUACGGUCAUCAAACUCCGAUAGGCUGUGAAACCUGUCAAUGCACCACCAUUCAUUCAUUAUUCGACUCAUGACUCUAGUGUCUUUCCUACCAUGCACUUGAAUGCACUUUUUUAAAUGCACAGUCAAGUUUAUUAGGGACAUAUUGACAACUCUAAAUAAACUAUAGAGUUAAAGAAUCAACAAAAUCAACGACAAUUCGCAUUUUUCUUAAAAAGGGCAGUUAAUCAUUCUUUAGAAAAAUUUGUAUGUGUGUAUCUACAAUUUAUGUUGAUGUAGAACAAAAGGCCGAAAUGAUUGAAGAGGAAAUGGACCGUCGGAAGGCAAAAGGAUGCAAUGAGAAUUUGCAACUUUGGCGUUCGAGUUCCAAUUUAGGCCUAUGAUACAUUUUCAAAAAGGGAACGAUGCCAUGGUUCAAACAUACAAUGGAUUUUGGCCAUCCGAGAUUGUUUCAGCCUCCAAAACGUAGUUUUAAUUUAUGUUAUAAAGAUCGAACAUUUGGGUUGUCGUCCGAUUAAUGUUGAAUUAUUGUCAUUUUAAUGUCGAGAGUCCUUUGAGUUGUUUUAGGGGUUGUAACCCGUUUAUUUAAGCCUUUUGACUGUUUCAAUGUGAUUAUCAAUUAUCAAUUAAAGUCUAAACACAACUACUUUUCGACUUUCUCUCAAACUCUGAUGGACUCCAAAAUUCUUGUUUUUUGAGGGUUUACGGCUGUAUCUCUCCUGCUUCGUGCUGCGUCAUAUAUAUAUAUAAUUUCUAAGUGCAUGAAAUUAACAAAAAUUAUGUGUCUACAUGAAUAGUAAUUAGGCAACAAUUAAGAAAACCGUUUAGCUAGGCAUACUCACUAAUAUGGAAUUCUCUCCAUAAGAUAUGGCAUGAAACUGUAGGUGUGGGGUUCUUGCAAGUUUAAUUCAUACUAUAAACUUAAACUACCUGGGAACCUUUUCUUUUGAAAAAACUUUAAGGGAAAAGGUAAACCCUGCAUUUCCCAGCAAAAGAGCUCUCUGAAAGAGGGCACUUUAUUUAUUUAUUUUCUUGAUCAUUAUCACAUGAGAGAAGAACUCCAUAGAUAAAAAUGUUUGAAGGUUGUCUAAAUGUUUAAUGGAAGAGUUAUUAUUUGCAAAACUGUGGUAGUUGAAAAAACGGUUCUAAAAUUGUUACCUGCUACACUGCUGGCAAAAGCGCUGCCGGAUUCCACCCAUGAACACCGCCGGAGCCUUGGCAUGAACGUCACAGACCUUGUGGCGGCGGUAGUAUUGCUUUAAAUCACUCAAGUCAGCAUUGCAACAAUCUACCUUACAACAUGGCCCUGCUGUAGACCCUCCUGCACCAGAUCUUCUCCCUGUAGGAGGAGGAGCAGUACUAUUCAUCAUCAUCACUGUAUCUCUCCUCUCAUCCUCACCAUCCACUAUAGAUGGUGUCCCACUCCUACUUUCUUCUUCUUCCUCCUCCUCCUCUUCCUCUUCCUCGUAUUUCACCAAGAUCCUCUUUCCAUGACCUCUGCCUGAUUCCAUAUUUUUCCGACGAAAGGAGAAGCAAAGAAAUGAGAGGAGAAGGAAGAUGUUAAAUUCAAAGGAGAAGCAGGCUAAAAUGAAAACAUUGAUCAAACAGCAAAGGUGUAGAAAAAGGAAGAGAAGCGUGUGUGUGUGAGAGAGAGAGGACCACAAGUUCCAUUUGUUACUUUGUGAGCACAAAGUAUAAUAGUGAAUGGUACCUCCAAACCCUAGAAAUAUUUACUCCAAUAACACAUCAUCUACAUAUGAUUUUUACACUACAACAACAUAACACAGUUCAAACUCAUCUUCACUAAUUAAUAUCUAACCUCAAUUUUAGACUUAAUUAGUGCUCGUUUAGAGGCACUUUUCUAUAAAACCAUUUGGAUGAAGGAACACUUUUUAUGUGUUUCUCCUCCUAAAUGAUGUUGGGCGCCCUCUCAAAAUUACUUCUAGACGAACCUUUAUUAAUCACUACUUAUAUUAGGUACAGCCACGAAUUUAGUGACUAAAUUUGGGUUCGGCUAAACCAGCUAGGGGUCAGCUACAGCUAGGUUAUUUCGAAGGACACUUUUUUGUAAUUUGAGAUGGCCUGGAGGACACUGAAACGCGUUAAUGCAUGUGUGAUUAUUACGCCAUAUAAUUUUUAUAUAGAGCACAGAGCUUAUGUCUAAUCCAAUCAUGGAUCAACCUAAUCAACAACUCAAUUUUUGUAAAAAUGAAUUUGAUUUGUACAUCUGUCUAUUCGUUACAAGUUUAUGUUAGAACGAGUCUCACAUAGGUAGAAUAAAUGACUUUACAUGAGUUUAUAAGUAAGUUGGAUUACUUUUCAUGUUGCCAAUUGACUUUAUAGUAGAACCUCAAUUUUCUUCACGGUUUCAGAGCAGGUUGUCCCACGUGUGAAGUCAAACGGCCACAUGUGCUCCAUGUCACCCCAUUGUGUUGUUUACGUAUUGGGCUUGAAAAUUCGACACAUGUGAGGGGGCUUGUUAAGAAUGAGUCGCACAUUGAUGGAAUAUGGAUCUUGCGUGGGCUUAUAAGUAAAUUGAGUUACUCUCAAACUGAUUUUAUGAUGAAACCUCAAUUUUAUUCAACCUAAAACCCUAUAAAAAUUAAAGAUAUGUUAUAAUUCAUAGGGUUAGGUUUAACUAUAUGAAUAUAUACAUAUAUAGAUAUUGCCAGUCCUUUUCAUAGAGAGUGUGACGACUCCUUCAUUCACAAUGUAUUAUAAUUAUUGGAAAGUGAAGGGUGAAAGGCGAAAAAAAAACCCUAAAUGGUCCAAUGAGGUAGCAACAGUGAUUAUCAUGCUUUGACACAUAUGGUACUAUAUAUUGUCACUUAUAAAUAGGGGUUGGUCCCCAUUUGUACGAUCCAACCCAUGAGCAAGUUCAUGUGCAACAUAGAGCACCCGUGGGUUUCAAAUCGAAUCCCUUAGAUUUGGAUUAAUUAGUGUAACAUAUUCAAAUGUACUAUGACGAGAAUGGCAUAUUCUAAUUGAUUGGGUUAGACAUCACAAUGGGCGAGCUGCAAACUAGGUAUCAAAUGUAACACACAAAUAUGUGUGAGUCAAACAUGAGACCUCUUACUUACCGGUGAAGAUGAAUACCAAUAAAUUAUAGUACUAGCUAGUUGGUAGUUUUUUAUUAUGAACAUUAAACAAACAAAUAGAAGAUGAGCCUUGCACCAACAAACUAUGAUCCCUUAUUUUAAUUGCCAAAUGAGGCAACGCAUAACUUAACAGUUGCUUAUCGAUUAAGAAAAUUUGGUUCAAUUGAGUUCAAAUACAAGAUGGGUAUAGCGUGUGAAAUAAAAUUUUAUUUUUUUUGUCAAACGAUAGAUUUUAUUAGAUUAGAUGUUAGAUUAGCCACCAACGAAGUUUGAACCCACAUCAUCAUGUAAGGAUUCCACAUCUUUUCACCACUGUGAUAAAGGGGCACUUACCGUGUGAAAUAAAAUUAGUGAACUUAAUAAAUGUAGACCUAAAUAAUUGAGUUUGAUAGAGAAUUUAGUGGUGGAGGAAAAGCCCUUAGAAGAAAGGGGACGGACAAACUCACAGCAUGAAUGCACCAUGAUUCACACAUCCCAUCACAGCUUUUUUCCCUGAAUUUUAUUUUUUCUUGUUUUUGGACUCGUCUAUAGCAUAGCAUGGCAUGAGAAACUGAGAAUGACUUCUCUGUCUGUGGCUCUCGGUACAUCGUGUGACAUUUCGAACAAACAAUACAAUCUUGUGCAUUUUUGCAUUAACACAUGAUAUUGCAUUGUUAAUGUCAAUGACAUGAUGUUGUAUUGGAAUACAUGUAAGUUUCUCUCCAAAGUUUAGAUCCGGCAUUUAUGACGGCCAAAUUCAACCCUAAUUUGGACACAACUAGCCCACUAGGCCCAAGAAGCUUAACUUAAUUACAAUCUUGGAUCUAGAUCCUUGACCCAUUUUUGUUUGGGCUGCAAUUUUAGCCCAUUUUUGUUUGGUUUACAAUCUUACAUGUAGUCCAACCAAAUGGUGGCCGAAGUCAUUGAGCCCUUCUUACUAGGCAAAAGUUGCUCGACAUUGAAGCCAGUAGUUAUUGAGCCCUUAAUAUACUGGGAAAUAUUUGUUUAACAAUGGGCCCAAAUUAUCAUAUAUUUUCAUGCAUAGUACAAGUGCAUGCGAGAUGUUGCGGGUGUUUAAAAUGUUUUUAAUAUAUAUACAUACAGAAGAGGUUAUAGAAGCUGGAUUUAUAUACAUAAGUUCAGAGUUAUCAACAAGAUUGGCAAUAGUAAAUCAGUUCAUUUUGAGUUUUAAUUUAGAUUGAAUUUGCAUCUACUUAGAGGUCGAGGACCACACAAUGUGGACUACACUAGUAGAGUAACCACUAAUUACAAGGCUUGAUUAUUGGCUUUUUCUUUGAGUGAUUGGGGGUUAAGUAAUGAUAAUAUUGUUUGACUUGACCAUAUACAAAAAUGAUCAUAUAGCUUAAUAGUAAUACUAUAACUACCAACACAUACAAAUAUAUUAUAUAAGUAAUGAUAAUAUUGUGUUCUUAACCAACUCAGCUAUAAACUUCUUUCUAAGAAAGAGUUUGCAGUAAAUAGUUGUUUAGUUGUCAUAUUAAUCAUUUUAGCUUUUUCUUUUAGCUAAUUUUUUUUUUUAGUACAAACAAUAUUCUACACUUACAUGAGUGUUUGAAUUCGAAAUAGAGUGAGUUGGAGAGGCAAACCUUAAAUUACCACUUACCCAUAACUUCUGGUUUUAUUAUUCAAUUUACUUAAUGUUAAAAAAAAAUUAUAGCAUUUCAUACCGAACAAAGGAUGAUUCUCUUAAUAUUUGACGGAAAUAUAUACCCGACCAAAUGUCCAACCUUUUCAUGUCACGAAGGUUGAAGAGAGGGUUUAAUCACACCUAAUGCCAAUGUUUGGCAUAAUUACCUCUCUCUCAUCAUAAUUACUUCUUAUCACCAUGCAAUGCAUAUCCACUAAUCACAUUCCACAACAUAUUAGUUAAAUAUGAUAAAUGCCAAUUAAUCAGGAGAAAAUGAGGGAAGGUUUGGGGUGAGACACCUUGAAGUGGAAUAGUACCACCCUCACUCUCAUAAUCACCUGUCACAAAUCAUUUGCCCAUUCCGAACAAAGUCAAGCCACAUACAUGUGGUUGUGGGGAGUUGGCCAUGAAAAUGAACCAUGUGCAUAAUGUAAUAAUCGUCGAUGCAAAUUUCCGCCGUUUUCAGUCUUGAUGAAAAUGCACCUGCAAAACAAUCAACACAUUUGAUCAAAGACCUAAGCCUCACGCGCCCACGAGGUGGGGGGGUAGGUCAACGGAUCUCCGGUGCCUAAAUUAGUUUAUCUGAGAGAGUAAAGUGUUUAGGGUUUUUUUAGGGGUGCAAAAAUCUCUCCAAAAUUGGUAGAAUAUGGUGUAUUUAUAGAGCUAGGGCUUGCCAUAUGGGUUUAAUGGAGAAAUAUUCUCUAAUUAUUCUCAAGAUAUUAAAUAGGAAAUAAUAUCUUGAGAUAAUAGGGUAAUUAUCCUAAUUGAAUUAAAUUAUGAUUACUUACUUGAUUGGAGUCAAUCUUCACAUGAGAAUGUAUUAAAGGUAGGGUAAUAAAUCCUUGUAUUUUAUUCCUUGCCAAUGGCAGGUGAGUUGUAGGCAAUUGUGUUCAGCUGCUGAGUCAUCCAAGGAUGUGAGAUGCGCGAGGGAGCAUCUAAGAAACAUGCUCAUUUAUUGAGGGCAAUCUUGUCUUUUUUGAAUAAAAGUCCACGUAUCGCCUCUAGAAUUUUUGGGAUUAUUUUUUGCUCCACAAUAAUGAUGGUGAAAGGUAGGUUAAAUAACCCAUAGACUUUCAAUCUAGCCGUAUUUCUCUUUUUAAUUUUGUAAAAGAUUUCAAGUUCGAACAACAUAUAUGUUCCAUUAAUAUAUAUGAUUAACCAGCACUAAGGUCCAAUUGACGAAGAGGUUUAUAUUAUUACAGUUAAUAAGAUUAACCUAAAAAUAAAUGUUUUUCAUUUGUUAAUGGACAAAAGAAUUCAAGAUCGACCAACGUAAUCAUAUCAAUGUAAGAUUACCAAACCAUACAUAUAAUUAUGAAGGCAUGAUAAUUUAUGAUUUACAAAUCCCUCGAUGAUCAUUAAUUAUUGUGCAUGCUCCUCUCUCUCUCUCUCUCUCUCUCUCUCUCUCUCUCUCUCUCUCUCUAUAUGUAUAUAUAUAAAAGAUGAAGAGCAUGAUCUGUUGACAGCUUGUUACAUAGAAUGAGUGAUUGACGGUUCUCACUACCAUUAUGCUCUUAAUUAACAAUUUUUUAUCCAACAUUAAUACUAAAGUAUAAUCAUCAACUAAAUUAUAUUUCUCUACAUAUGCAUCCGGAUUCAUGUUCGAUCACCAUCAAUUCUCCUUCCUCAUAACAUUUAACAAUUUAACCAAAUCUCCCUCCCUCAUAAUAUUUAACAAUUUAACCAACUAAUACUAUUCUUUGUAAUAAUAAUAUAAAAAAAAAACUAAAUUACAUUUUCACAAAGUGGAAGAAACCUCCAUCAACAUCGCUGCCCUAAUCCAUGUCUAUUAAUACAUCGUUGGAUUUGAUCAGUCUACCAAUAUACGUGAAACAAGUGGACUCUCUCUCUCUCUCUCAUGAAUAGAUUAGCAAUUAAAUCAAAUAGUGUCAGGGCACACCCAAUUUGAUUAUUGUCCUUAUUAAUCCCCAACAUUCUGAAGGCCCCACGGGACCGGCGGCACUUGAAACUUCUAGAUAUAUAGCAAUUAGUCCUUCCAGCCCAGCUUAAUCCUAAACAAUAUAAUUAUAACAUUAUAAUAAUGGUAUUAGACUCUCUAAUCCUCUUCAUUCUUGUGAGCUGUAUACCAUUUUUAAUGGUUAAAUAUUCUAAUGAGCAUCCGUGAGUUAGAUUAAUUCAUUAAAGCAAAGUAUAUAUAUCCCCUUUUCUCAAAUUUGAAUGUAUCAUAAAUAUUAGAGUAUAGAAUAUCCCUUUACGCUUAAGUUUGAAUUUCCUCGUCAAACUUCCAUUUUAAUAAUAAUAUAAAUUAAUGCCACACAUUGAAGCAAAAAUAAUUAAGGUGAUGUGAAGUACAAUGGUUUUGAUCAAAUCCACAGACUGAUGCUUAAAAUCGAGCUGAAUGGGAUUAUAUGCUUGAAACCAACGUCUUAAUUGGAACUAAUACCUUUUAAAUCCCAGAAUCACUUUAUUAGGCAGCAUAGUACGUAAGUUGACUACUGCAUCUUUAGAAUCACAUGUUGCUUGAGUUGAUUACUAAUUAAGUUUGGCAUUCAUCUAUUUUAUCAGUUAGUGGAAAUGGGAUUAUGAUGUGAUUAGGUCAUCGAUCUCCCAUCAGAAUAUGCCCUAGCUAGCCCUACCUGGGUCGUCGGUCAUCAUCUUGUGUUUUUGUAGUUGUUCCACGCGAGUCCAUGUCUAUGGAGAUGACCUAAUCUUCUGACUUCUGUGUAAAACAGUGGCCUCUUUGUCAUUGAAUCACACAUUAAUAUCAGUACAGCUGCAGGUACAUGAUGGAUAUAUCUGCAGUCGCCAAAUGGAAUAUGUAGUUCUAGAAAAACUCCAUUAGCAUUCUUCCUUCCGCAUCAUUAUCUGGAUGUAUAGAUUCUAUGUAUGGUAUAUUUCAAGAUCAAAGAUUAAAUUCCAAAAGUAGGCCAUUGAUUCGAUCCAGCACCCCUUUCCGUAUUCGGACAACAAAAAUCGAAGCAACCAGUCAAAUUAAUAAGUCUAGAAUCAUACGGAAAAUAGAAAGAAAAUAUACAUACAUACAUACAUACAUAUAUAUAUAUAUAUAUUUUGGGUUAUAAGUCGAGAUAGCUAUCUAUCAUAGCUUGACAUAUGUUCUUAUGCAUUCUCUAAUAAGCUUUUUAGCUGAAUUUAAUGGUUGUCUAAUAUGAUAUUAGAAUCUGUUUCAAAAAAUUCCGACUCUUGAAACCCUAAUAUAUACCAUCUCUUUCAUAAUUAAGUUUUUGAGGCAUAGCCUCAAUCGAAAUGGGUGCUCAUAUAAAUGGUUUAAUAAAUUAACUAAAUAGAGAGAAAAUCCAAUGCAAGACGAUGGAAAUGGAGAGUGAGACCUUUGGCUGUCGAGUUGCAAAAUUGUAUGGGGUGCAAUGGUGGUCAGCCUGUGAUAAAUAUAGUUGGCUUGGAUUUGAUGCUCAGCUGGUCCCCGUAAUCUCUCUCUCUCUCUCUCUCUCUCUCUCUCUCUCUCUCUCAACUGAAACAGAAACAGGAGGCUUCUUUCUCUCUAACGCUUUAACCAGGGCCGGUCCUGAGAAUUUGGAGGCCCUAGGCGAGCCUUUGAAGUGGGACCCUAAAAUUCUCUGAUCUCCGAUUCUUUGUAUAUUGAUUUGUAUAAAAAAAAAUUUCUAAAUAUAUAAAAAGUUAUAUUUUCAUAUCAAAUAUCAUUAAAAAUUAAUAUCAAAAGAAGAUAAAUAUACAAACAUUAUUUAAACAUUACACGAUUAACGUUUUUAUACAUAAAUGUACUAAAUGUUUGCAGUCAAGAGUUUAAGAUUGAGAAUGAAGAAUAAUAAAACUUGAUGAUCAAGAGAGUAAAUAACAAUAAAACUUGAUUGACAAGUAUAAUAAAUUCAACGCCAAUUGUUUCUCUUGUGUUUUUUUUUCUUCUAAAAUCAACAUCACACUAACGAAUUGAAUAUUAAAAUUAUCCAUUGAAUAAAAAGUUAUUGAAAAGAAAAAUAUAUAAUUCAAAGUUUUGAUUACCUUAAAGUACAAUCUUUAAGACCAUAUGAUAGUUGGUUUAAACAUUCAAAAGAAAUGAAGAGAAUGUGAAGUUGGUUUAAACAUUUGAUAGAAAUGGAGGGAAUGAGAAGUUAAAAGAAAAAAAGAUUGCAAAGAGACUUGGGUUUUAUAACUUUAUAUGCAUUUGGACAGAUGAAUUGAGAGUUGGACAGAUGAAUUGGCUUCAUGUUUUGAACUCAACAUCCCAAAGAAAAAUAAAGCCAACAUUUCCAUUGCAGUAACAAAUGAAUUAUGAUAUUUCUUACUUAUUUUUUUGUAUUUAUAUGUUAAUUACAAGAUAUAAAUUUUUUUGAGACCCUUCUGAAGUGGGGUCCUAAACGGGCGCCUACUUGGGCUACAGGGCCCGGCCCUGGCUUUAACGUGCGUGUUGGGUUUCUUUCAUGUUCUUUCAAAUUGGAAUCUCUUGUGUUGUCCGAUGGUGGUGGGGGUGUGGCCUGCUGGGUGUGGUCAUUGCCUCAUUACUGGUCUGUGACAAUUGGUGUGGGUAAGUAGGACCCAGCCUGAUCACCUCCACGUCUAUCCCUACUUUGACUACUAAAACCAGUCUCCAUUCCUGUCAUCUUGCUUUCCCUCACACUCACAACUGCAUAUUUCUUUUGUUUACUGUGUAUCACUUUUACAUGUAAGAAAUCAUGGAAAUAAAAUUUAUACACAUUGUUGUAGGAGAUAAAUUUGGUUAGAUAGGGUUAGUUAAGUAGCGCAACUUACCGGAAAAUAUCAAAAUGGAGUUAUAAACUUAUAACUAGUGGCGGAGACAAAUGUGGUCAUUAGUUAGCUACUUAUGACUCUCAUAGCUUGAUAAACUUAAUGUAUAUUUAUCUGUGUAUUUGUCUAUGAUACUUUUACAUAAUUGCGGCAAACUAAAAGAAUGAAUAAAAAAAACAUUGAAUUACAAGGUGUUGCUUCUUUUGUGCAACAUUGAAUUACAAGCUGUUACUUCUUUUGUGCAACUCCAUGUAUAAUUAUUUGUAGAUGUGUUCGAUAAAAAGCCUCACUCGAUUGGCCUCGACAAAAAUCAAUAGAAUGCGGCAUAACUUGAUGGAUAUUCACCAGAAGCUCGAUCGACAAAAUGAUCCCAUGAAGUUUUUUUACCAAAAUUAUGACCCAAUUAUUAUAACAUUCUAACUCCGCCACUAGAGUUAACUAAUAUCAAAUACAAAUUGUCCUACAAUUUUAUGAAAAGUGUCAUAAGAAUGACGUGGUAGGAUACUCUUACUCGAGUUUUACAAGAAACAAUUUCUUAUAUAAAUAUAUAUAUAUAUAAGUAUCCAAGUAUACCAUUACUAUAAAUAUAUUAGAGAGUAUUCAUAUUGAUUUACAAUUGACCACCAAUAUAUCCAUAUGGGUGCCCACCAGGACUAUGAUCAGUGGACCUCCAGUAUAGUCCAAUUGUCCAUGAGGUACAGCUACCAGCAUCAUCGUCAUAAUUCAAACCGAAAAAACUAUUAACAAACACAAACCAAAGUAGAUUAAAGAUGAUAUCCAUGUUUUGGAUAACAAUUGUCCAUGAGGUGGGUGGCUUCAAUUUUGGUUAACAUAUAGUAAAUUGGGUGUUGCAAUUAAAUUAACCAAGUUGUAGUUGUAGGAUCUAAAUCACCCUAACAUGCUUAGAGUAUAGUAUAGAUUUGUUUUCCCGCAGUAGCUACUUUAAUUAUCUGUAGUCAAAUAGUCUUACACCUGCUGAUAGAAUAUACAUGAUCUCAAUCUAGUAAAGAGCAGCAACAUGCAUGAUAGUAAUAUUUUAAUGAGAGCCCUAUUUUAAUUUCCAAUUAAAGGUGUAAUCAAGUAGAGUAACAGUACAACAGAGAGAGAGAGAGAGAGAGAGAGAGAGAGAGAGAGAGAGAGAGAGAGAGAGAUGGAAGUGGUCACUGGGGGAAGGAAGAAUAAUGAUGGGUUGUAGCGAAGGAGGAGAAGAUCCCUUGGGAGACUACAAAAUCCAUUUGUUCCCUCCUCGAACGCCUUUUUCUUUUCCGGAGCCGAUGAGCUGCCCUCCACAUGCAAUUCACUUCUGUUUCUCUGCGGCUCCCUAUUUUUUUUUUCUUUUUUGAUAGAAACUGCAGCUCUCUAUAUGCUAGCUUUGGUUUGAUUUCCACAGUUUCAUCUCUCUCUUUCUCUUCCCUUGUGAAACCAUUAACGGUUUUUCUUUGCUUUUUUUAUUUCUAUUUUUAUUUUUCUCAGUAAUAUUUUGCCAAAUUGAGAGAGAGAGAGAGAGAGAGAGAGAGAGAGAGAGAGAGAGAGAGAGAGAGAGAUGAGGAGGAGGAACAAGAACUGCAACAGCAAAGCAAGAGCCCUCGAGAAUAAAGCGUGGUGGUCUUUCCUCUGUGUGUUUCAGUAGUCUCUGGGAUGUAGACCACCACAUUGUGCCCUCUUGUCUCUUUCUUUUUGGAGUUUUCACCAAUUCCUAUUUCAAAUGAAUACUUCCCUCCUAUAUAUAUAUAUAUAUAUAUCAAUUCCUAUUUCAAAUGAAUACUUCCCUCCUAUAUAUAUAUAUAUAUGUUGUGCUUAUUAAUUAUAAAGUAAAUGUUAUUGACACUCUAAAAAUCUCAUUCUACACUUCUCAUAAAUGUAUUUUUCUUUCUAAAUAUAUAAAAUUUGGAGUAUAGAUUGAGAAUUUUAGAAUGCCAAUAACAAUUCCCAAUUAUAAUCCUCCUUUCUAUUGCAUAUAAUAUCCUACCCUACCUACCAUUAGUUCAACACAUGCCUCCACAAUUUAGAGUUGUUAGACUGUAUAUAUGGUCAACUGAUUAUGUUGAAUUUUACAGUGCAAUUUACGGAUUCAUGAAUAUAGUUAUAGUCAACAAUUAUUCAUGAAAAAAACCUAUAAACUGAAAAAAAAAUGCAAUUAAUAUAAAGUACAAGUACCACUUGCCACUUUCUAUAACAAGAUCAUUAACAUAUUUAAAGAGAAAUCAUUUUCCACAAUAUAUAUGAUGUCCCACCAAAUUAACAGUUACACAAUUCAGUUUGGAUUAUUAUUAGAGGGUGGUCCUAUGCACACACUUUACUUCUUACAUACAUUCUUAAUUUUCAGCUGUUUAAUUGAAUGAAUUAAAGAAGAUCAAUAGACAAAAAUAACAAGGGUGUGUGGGAGGUAAAAAUAUUGUGUGAAUAACACUACCCUUAUUGCAUGUGGUCCAAUAUCCUAGUAAAUGAGGUGUUGGGUUGCUACCCAUACGUCCCGGAUUCAAAACUUCUCAUUUCCCUAAAUUAUUGUAAUAGUAUCGAACUCUCUAAACUCUUCCCCUUCCUCCUAAAUAAUAGCACUCCCCUUAUUAGAUUACAUUGUUGUCGAAAUGGGGAUAAGUAACAUGUUGAUACAUGGGAGUUGAGGGCCAUACAUGUAGUAUAGCGUACAAUUAAUUUCAUUAAAUAAACAAAGUAAAAGAAAAAGAGGAAGUGGGAUUUGCUGCGAAGACUGCAUCGAAUAUUGGGGCUCUAGGGAUUCCCUCAACUCUUAUCUAGUUUGCUUGCUGCUAUCUCUAUGCAAAUUAAAGGAAUGUAUGUUGUUAAUCAUAGGAAUGUGUUAUUUAAAUUUGAUUAGCUUCAACUCCUUAAUUAGUAAAAUUCUCUCCUUCUUGAACCUCCCAAAGAUUCAUCUCUAAUGUCACAUUACCUUCCUGUCCGCUUCUCGGAUUUCGAAUGUCCUCAAUAUUCUUUCCCAUUUUUUAAUUCCAAUUAUAAUAAUCAAAACCGAUUUUACACCACAACCAUCACGUGAAAUUAGAUUCCAAGUAAUUAACCCUUAACUAAUUGCAAUUUUUAAACUAAUUCUCAUCUAAUAUUAAUCAGACAACACAUUCAUUCCCUCUCGAUCUCCUCUCUCUCUCUCUCUCUCUCUCUCUCUCUCUCUCUCUCUCAUAGUCAUAAUAUUUCAACUCCAUCAAGAAAGACUCACGUCGCCACCUGCUCUUUGUCCGCAUACUCUUUGUUUCAACGAUUCCCUUCUCAAAGAGAAAAACAUGUUGAGCAACUGUGAUCAUGAGAAGAUGGCUCUACUCAUCUCUUCAACUACUAACGAAUGGCCACAGGUUCCCUUCUCUCUCUCUCUCUCUCUGUCUCUCUCUCUAGAUUUCAAUUAUUAGGCAAACCAUGACACAACUUUUGUUGCUUAGCUCUUGGAACAGAAUAUUUCUCCUGUGUAGUUAUUUUUAACCUAGUACCACCGUCUUAACCCUCUUUCUUUCUUUCCCUUCCUUCCCUUUCGAUAUUUGUAGUUGCAGCAGGACAUUCAAAUCGAUGAUAUUCAUCAUCAAAAGGGCUUGAAUAACAACAACAAUAACGUUAGGUCUUCAUCCACGUCUUCGCCGGCGAAUCGGGUAAUGGAGAAACCAGGUCAAGAACAACUCCAGCUCCAACAGCAAGCCCUAAAGUGCCCUCGCUGCGAUUCGUCAAACACCAAGUUCUGUUACUACAACAACUACAGCUUGUCCCAGCCGAGGCACUUUUGCAAGGCCUGCAAGCGCUACUGGACCCGAGGUGGGACCCUCCGCAACGUUCCGGUCGGUGGAGGUUGCCGAAAGAACAAGCGCGUAAAGAGGCCCGGCUCAACAUCCUCAACAUCGUCAGCCAUGGAUGGAGGAGCUACUUCUUCUUCCUCUUCAGUUCCUAGCACUACUGCUGCUGCUAAUAAUAAUUCAAACCCUAAUUCACAACCAUCCCACAUCGAUCAAAUCAAUCCGCUGUUUUAUGGGUUGUCUAGUAACCCUUUUAUGGAUACUGCUUCAGGGUUUGAUCUUCAUCAGUUGAAUCAUCAGGCUCAGCUGGGAUUAGGGUUUUCAUCAUCGUCAGGUACUAAUAUGAUGUCCAGUGAUAAUUAUCGAAACCGGUUUAAUCCUGCUUCGAGUUCAUCACUUCCUUCCAAUUAUAGUUCCAUGUUUAGUGCUUCCCCAUCCACCACAGUUCCAACUAUGGCUUCUGUGCUUGCUUCUAAAUUCAUUAAUGGCGGUGCUUUCAAAGAUAUUCAAGCUAGAGGGCCUCAUCAGCAAAACCAGUACUUCCAGUCCUUACUACCCUUCGAAGAUCUUCAAAUAGCGGCAGGAAACAACGGCGAGGUUGGUGGUGCCGCGAAAGACGUGAAAGUAGAAGAUCAUAAUGGCCAAAACAGGUUACAGUGGAAUAAUAACAAUGGUAGCAGUAAUGUGAAUGGUAAUAUGAAUUGCCAGAAUCAGAUCUCGGAGCAAAUGGGGCUAUCAGAUCCUACUCCUUACUGGAACUCAUCGACUCUCGGUUCUAAUUGGCAUGAUCCAGCAAAUCUUGGGUCCUCGGUCUCUUCACUGAUCUAGCAAAAACCCAACUUCAUCCUCAACCUUAUUUUUCGAUCUCAAAUCUUCCUUUUACCUUAAUUAGAGUAAUUUUUAGGGUUUUUUUUAGUUGGUUGGUUAUUGGUUUUUAGUGAAUUGGAGUGUGGUUUUAGAAAAGUUAAAGGAAAAAAAAAACAAAAAAACUCGAAAAACAAAAAAUUGGAAAAAGAAAGUUCAUGGGUACAGUAUUGGAAAGAAGAUGGCAGGAGCUGGGAUCGGAGUGAUCAUGUCAGCAGCAAUAAGAGAAUCAGCCUCUUGAUAAGUUUUAUUAAUCAAGGGUUGACAAUGCCCCCUAAUUUGCGCUGAGAGGAACCUCGGAUCUUCUUCGUCUCACUGCCUCGAGUACUAUCAACGAUCGUUAUGAUCAUAAUCGUAAUCAUCAUCUUCUACACAGAGCUGAAGUCUCCCCCUCCUUUGGUGCAAACAGCUUCCUCUCUAGUUCAGUAAGUUGGUGUGUUUAUUUGGUGUAUGUAUAUAUCUGCAUGACAAUGUUUCCUAAUUCCCAUAUGUGUUGGUUAUAAUUAGCUAGGUUGGGGUUGGUGGGUUUACUAUCUAUGAUCAGAAGAACUGAUUUUUUUUAUUCUUAUUUUGUUCUUGGGGAGGGGAAAAAAGGGGGUAACUUGGUAUAAUGGUAUACAAGAGAUGGGAGACGAUUGUUGUUGCAGUGUGGGUAAUAUAUAUGUUUGGUUUUUCAUUUACAUGAUGUACGUUUCAACUUAAUUUGUACUUUGUAGUUGACGAUAUUGUUCAGGAGCAUCAUUAACUGGUUUUAAAUUUGAGUAUGUUUUUAGAAGAAUGCUGAUAUUUUCAAACCAUUCACAUUAAAAGCUGAACAUAUACAGUAUGACAUGAUACUGUCUGUACAUGAUGUUUCACGAAGCUACGUACUAAGGUUAGCUGUACAGAGUAUGGGGUGGGUAAAAACGCCUAAUUGUGGCCAAUAACCUCAUUAGCUAUUGAUAUGCCCUUUAACUCAUGCAAUUAGCUACUAACACGCAUUUUCCUGACUCGUAACAACUAAUGUCAGUAGCCAGCUAUUGUCAGUUGUUGCGUGAAGUGAACAUGCAUUUAGGCUACCAUUGAGAUUGAGUGAGGUGUUUGUGGAAACUAAUGUAAACCUCAAGAAUAGUAGAUGGUUCGAGCCAAAGCCACAGUUUUCAUAUCUUGAAAUUAUUCUAUGGGAGACAACAAAUAUAUGGAUUUGAAGGUACGUGAGAUUUAUGCCCUUGGACAAUAGUAUGCUGGCUGUAGGGAACUGUUUAUUCUCCCAAUUUAUAGUACUACUAGCUUGGGGAGAGGGAGGGAGAGAGAGAGAGAGAGAGAGAGAGAGAGAGAGAGAGAGAGAGAGAGAGAGAGAGAGAGAGAGAGAGAGAGAGAGAGAGAGAGAGAGAUGGUGGUGGAGAUUCAUUAUGCACGUACGUGAUGAAGGUUUCACAUGGGAAUAACUAAGACAAGGUGAAUGAAUUAAUGUAUUUAUUGAAACGGACAAGCCAUAGGAUAUCUACCUAUGAGAUAUCAGUGGAGAUUCUUUGACUUAUGCGUGCAUGUAUAUGCAGAUUUAGAUGAUUAACUUAGUUUGAAAAUACGUUUAUAAGGACUUGUUACCUUGUAAAUUUUUGUUAAACUAGCUAGCUAAUCAUCUGAUGAAAUUAUGUUGUUGUCACAGUAAUAAUAUUCAGUAUAUAGAUAUGAUAUUCUAGACUUAGUGGUAGACAACUGGUAGCGCACUCCUUCAAAAGCUGCCAAUUCAUGAUCUAUCCUUGCCAGCUCUCCCCUUGAUAAUAUGAAUUCAAAAUCUGGUGAGAGCGAAAUUCAGAUGGAAAACAGACUUGCUAAUUUCUUAUUUUAUGCGGGCAUACAAUAAAAUGUCUAAGGGGAAUUUGGAAAAUUAGCUUUUUUAAGAUUCAGAUAUAUCCAGUUGAGUCCCCUCCAACAAUGUGAAACUUUCAAGUGGUUAAAAGAAUUUACUAAAACUCUUUAACAUAUUCCACAUUUGGCUACUUCGCAAAUUUUCUCUGAGUUCUAGGUUUUUGGCUUAGGUUUUUUGGAAUUUGAGUGACAUUACAUAAUUCAUGCGUAGGAUGAAAUUCGGCCUUGUCUCACAUUUAUAUAUACGUGCAUUCGUUUUUGGGACAAUAUAUACUCUCCGUUCUUUUAAUUGGGUCCUUUUUGCAAGGGUUUGUGGGUUUAGAAUUGGCAAAUUAGUAGCAAGAAAACUAGAUUAAUUAAUAUGAGCGUGUUUUUCCUAAUGAAGAUAGGAUUUUAUGAAAUAAGGUAAUAUAUUGUGGUUUUCUGUGGUGGUAGUGCUGCUGGUCCCAAUUUAUAUUGGCUGAUCCGCAAGUACUGAUCACGAUCUAAACUUGCCUCCAAGAUGGAACUUGGAAGCCUUCAUUAUGAUAUCCAUGCCAUGUACAUGUACUGAAAAGUAACUAGGCAAGUGACGAUGCCAACAUAUGCUUGGUGGUCCUGAGUUUGUAUAUUGCAUGCAUGCAUGUUUACAUGUUGUCUGGAUUGAACAUCGUUUGGUGAUGAGAGCAUGUGCCUUAUAUCGAUGAUCUAAUAUAUCAAUAUAUCAAAGAACAACCGUGUGAUAUGAUUUCAAUGAUGUGAUGAUUGUAGCCUCAUUGCAUAUUUAAAUUUAUAACAUUAUGAAGAAAUAAGACCAUGGUUGUGGAGCACAAAGCCAUACUACAUUCAAUAAUUUCUUUAAUAAUUUAACAAUAUAACAUGUCAGACUAUCUUGUAGAAAAACAAAACAUUUAGACGAUUGAUUUGUGUUACCAUAUCAACAUGUAUAAUGUAGUACCAACGUUUUAUUGCAGAUUACGAGGUCAGAUUAUACAUCAAAAUUAGUUCUAGGUCGAUAUUGGUAGGGCAAUAAAGGGAAGAAACCAAAAUGACAUAGAAACCUGUUUUGUAUCUUUUAUAAGGGGUAACUUGUCCAGAAAUUCAAAACACAAUUAGAUUUUAGGGAGUUCAGUAAUUAAGAAAGGGAGUGUACUAGGCAGCAUGUUGUAAAUUAACCUGGACAGGGAUCAAAUUCUGCUGAAAGCUGAUCCUCUAGGGCUGAAAUUUGUGUCGUUGAAAUUAGGGUUCCAAGCUGCAUGUGAUGGUGUCUACAGUUUACUUUUGUAAGAAAUUACUAAGGCAUGUCAUUGACAGACCUCUGCAAUUGCAACCUCUACAGAAGUGGGGUCCUAGAUGCCAAAUUAGUCCGGUGGGCUUGGUUUCAGGUUCAGUCUCUAUUAUUGUCUACUUGUCUAUCCCUAAGAAAUCCAAUUUUUGGGGGGAUGCAGGCCCCCCUCAAUUGACAAAGAUGAUCAGCUUCUUAACACAUGCUGGUUCGCCUAGCUCCUGCCUCUCAUUCCUGCAUUUAAUUUAGUUCUGGUUUUUCAUACAAGCUAGCGAUAUCGGAACAUGGUCGCAUCGGCAUCGUGGUAUGGUAAUUAAAGAGAUAAAUCGAACCAUAACCUUGACUUAGAAUUCAUUAGCAAUCCAAAAUUAACAAAAAAAAAAAAAUUAAAACAUUUCAAAAAGUAUUUAUUGAACGAUAAUAUAGGAUAUAACAACCUAAGCACCAGGAUGUUUUUUUUUAAUAGAGUAAUGCUAGGUAGACCAACUUUUUAAACUCAUUUACAAAUCAUGUGAUAUAUCACCAAUUGAAAAUAAUAUUGUUAACACUUAAUCCAAUCAUCAACAACCACGUCAUGUAAUUUAUAAAAUAUGAUUAAAUCCAUGUUAAUUUGUCUGGAUUGAACAUUGUUUGGUGAAGAGGGCCUUGGUAUCGAUGAUCCAAAUGUCAUAUAUCAAAGAACAACCAUGUGAUAUGAUUUCAACUAUAUGAUACUUAUAACAAUACGAAUAAAGAAGACUACAGUUGUGGAGCACCAAGCAGUAAUACAUUCUAUAAUUUUCGUUAAUAAUGUAACAAUAUAACAUGUCAGACUAUCUCAUGGAAAAAUAAAACAUUAGACUAUUGAUUUGUGUUAUCACAUCAACAUGUAUAAUGUAGUACCACCGUUUCACUGCAGAUUACAAGACCAGAAUAUAAAUCACAAUUAGUUCUAGGUCAAUAUUGGAAAGGCAAUAAAUGGAAUAAAUUAAAUGGCAUAAAACCUGUUUUAUAUCUUUUAUAAGGGGUAACUUGUCUAGAAAAUCAAAACACAACUAUUUUGAUUUUAGGGCGUCGAGUAAUUAAGAUAGAGUGUUUAGGCAACAUGUAAAUUCAGCCUGGACAGGGAUCAAAUUCUGCAGAAAGCUGAUCCUCUAGGGCUGAAAUUAGUGUCGGGUGAAAUUAGCUUUACAAGCUGCAUGUGAUGGUGUCUAGUCUGCUUGUGUAAGAAAUUACUGACAUCGUUGACAGACCUCUUGCAAUUGCAAUCUCUACAGAUGUAGUGGGGUCCUAGACGCCAACUUAGCCCAGUGGGCUUGGUUUCGGGUUCAGUCUCUUAUAUUGUCUCCUUGUCUGUAUCCCCAACAAAUCCAGUUUUUUGAGGAUGCAGAUGCAGCCCCCUACCCCCCUCCUUCUCCUCCUCUUUCAAUGGACAUAAUUGACAGAGGAAAGACGAUCAUCUUCUUAACACACGCUGGUCCUCCUAGCUCGUGCCUCAUUUCAUUAGUCAUUCCUGCAUUUAAUUUAGUUCUGGCUUUUCAUACAAACUUGCGAUUUCGGGAACAUGGUGAAGCUCGCAUCGUGACAUAGUAAUUAAAUAGAUAAAUCAAACGAUAACUCAGAGUCAGAAUUCAUUAGCAAUCCAAAUUCAUUAAAAUUUUGAAAAUAUCUCAAAAUUUAUUGAUCUAAUGAUAAUUAAUAAGAUAAUAACCUUAGCAACAACAAUACUCUUUUAUAAGAAUUAUGCUUCGCUGCUGAAAGAAAAGCAACAUUGAAGAAGUAUUCUUCCCACUUUACUCACAGCAUGGUCAUAAAUAUCAUUUGAAAAAUAGACAAUUAGAUUUAAAACCAAUUCCUUAAGCAAGUUUUAGGUAACUCCUCCUCCAAAAAAAUCACUUUUGAUGUAAAUCCUUUGACUAUUAUACAACCUAGGACAACCUUCCUUUUGUGUAAGAUGCAAACAAAUAUUUUUAUUUUUCAGUUCCAGCCUGCCCCUAAGUUUAAAAAUGGAUUCAAACAUGAUUUGGGCAACACCUAUAUAUUAAUUAUUAUGAUUUCAAACGGCAAAACUUAUAUUUGAUUGGCACUUUUUGUUAAUUGUCACUUUCAUGCUAAGUUCUUAUUCAUCUUCUUCAACUCUUUUUUCUUUUUCUUUUUGCCCGUGUUAUUCUACCUUAUAUGGAGGCAUAGUUUGUAUUGAAAUUUGUCAUGGUGAAUUGGUGAUAACCUUAACUAUAGGUAAUAUAUAUUCCUUUUGCUUCUACAUGUCUUGAAAUUUGCAUUAGGUAUAUAAUUGUUUUGGUAUCUUUAUUGAAUGUAGAUAGUGAUAUUUUUCAUACGUAGAAUUAUUUCGUAUCUCUUUUAUGUAAAUGAAGAUGUUUUAUUUUCAUAUACAUAUAAUUGUAUUAUAUAUGAUUUAAAAAAUUAUUUUAAUAUCAUUAUAUCAUAGGUAAAUAAUUGCAUAAUAUCAAUGUUUUCAAAAUAAUCAUACAAUAAGAAAUGAAUGCACAAAUUAGGUUUAAAUUGUAACCCCAUAAAUGUUGGGUUAAACAAAAAAAUUACUGUAUUGAUUGGACCUCAAUCAAAAGACUCUUUGAUCGUAAAAUUGGGUUUAUCAUACAUCACUUAUCAUAUGAAUCCAAUUGUAAAGGAUGAAAUUCGUUUGAAAUAUGGUUUUAAUUAAAUAUAUAAUCUCAUUAUAUAACUAAUGAGAAGUGAUUUUCACACACUCUUUUUAAUUUCUCACACACUUUUCUUUAUUUAUGAUCAUUAAAUUAGAUAAAUUAAACGAAAAUUGAGAACAAAUUGAACAAAUGUGUGCAAGAAGCUAAAAAUAGGGUAUGAAAAUCACUUUCCAUAAUUAAUAAGAGAAAUACAAGACGAAGCUCAUGUAAUCUUAGAAAUUUCUAAUAUAAUUCCCUACCAAAUACAUUAUGUUAAUUUUAUUUUAUAAACAUUCUGUUACAAGCCUUACGACAGGUAUAUGAAGGAGCCAGCUAGAAGAGGACAAGUAGACCAAUGCGAGGAAAUAUAGGUGCAGAUAUGAGACAAUGGGCAGUUGUGUGUGAGGCAUUUAAUAAUUAGAUUGGUGAUGACUGAUGGCAUGCAGUGCAAUUGUAACCCCUUCCUUCCACCCUUCCUUCCUUAGAAGUACCCCCUUCUCCACGCUAUUUUCACAACUCCUUCAUUUUGAUAAUGGUCUACGUCAAACCUUUGCUCUAAAGCAACCCUUUGCCAUGACAAAAAGAAUUUUCAACUUCCUUUCUUGGUUAGUCCAACCCCAUCUUCUACAUUGGUCCCCUUCUCUCUUUCAGUCUUUAUUCCCACUAAAGUUUAAGUGUUGGACAAAAACUUAAAAGGAAAUUCGAUCACAUUAUUCUUACGAUACUUCUCACAGAAGUAUGUAACUCUAUGUAUUUUGGUUUCACCUGAUCUAACGUAGUCUAAUUGAAUAAUAUGAGUGUGAAAGCUACCCUAGUAGUGCAGCUACCGAAGUUUCUAAUAUAUAGAAAUAGGAAUAUUUUGCAAAUUAACUACACUUUUGUGAAUCCAUCAUUACUUUGUCCACAUACACUUUCUAAGACACAAAGUCUCAAUACCAUAAUGUGGUCUAAACUUUCAUUUUAUGGAUCAUUGACAAUUUUUUAUAUUGCAUCAAGAAUUUAUGUGAAUUUAGAAUAUAUAUGAGUAAAAGAGUGCGUAUUCAUCACACACAUUUUAAAGUAUCAGCAUUGUUUAAUGGGAUCGUAGAAUAAUACCAUUAAACAGUGUAUAUGUUGAUUGGCUGAGGAAUGAGGAUACAUAUUUACUUUCUAACCAUUUUGAUUGAAAAUCUAAUUACAAAUGAAUUCCUUAAUAAUUAUGCACACACACUAUUGUCCUAGAUUAGCGCACGUAAUUGUCUCAAACGAUCAUAUGGUUUAGGUGGCUUGCUAAUCCACAAAACUGUCUAAUGAACCACAAGAUACCUGCAAGCUUGACCAAAUGAUGGUGCUCUGGGGCUUUGAGUCCCACAUCGAUGGGAUGUUAAUUAGAUGGAAAGUCCACUUAAUUUCCACCGGAGUUUUUGUAUUUUUUGGCCAAGUGGGUCACCACCACUAAUGCAUGCUUCGAUCUUAUAGAAAUAUAUAUACAUCACACAUCAAAAUCAUAUGUAAAUGUUCGAUGCGGAGCUAAAGCUAGACACUGGGUUGUUCCUCCAUGCAAAGGGUGGCGGAAGGUUCCCCACACUAAUGCAGUAGCACUCUCAUCAUACUUUGUCCUGCAAGCUGUCUUUACCAUCAUGCCCUUUCCAGUUUCAAGCCAGACCUCUUUAGGUUGAAAUACUCAAUCAUUCCCAUUAUUUAUAGAAGUCUCUUGGGGCACAAGCAACCGACGAUGGCGACCUCCAAUGUGCUUUACCGUUCAAUUUAGAAUGGAUGGAUGUGGGGACUGAAUAUUUUUUUUUUCCAACGAAUAGUUCUUGGCUAAGAUAGUGAUGGAUUUCAAAGGAAUAUUUACCUAUUUCUUUAUUUAUUUUUAUUAUGUUGGAGAUAUUCGAAUACUGAUUUUAAGUUAUUCGUAUUUAUCGUCUUACACAUCCUCAUCAUAUACAAAUUGCAGUGGCUUGUCAUUCUUUAAUCCAUUUUUUUUUAUUCCACAUCAAAACUCCAAGAGCAUAUUUUACUUUGUUUUGACACAAUAAAUAGACAUGAGAUGAUCAUCUUAGGGUGAUUCUUUUUGGAUGGAUGCUCCUUUUGCACUUGUAGGCUCUGAAGGAUAAGAACUAACUAACUAUGUAGCAUUUACAUUGAGAAUUCAUUUCUCAUGUAAUAUUUGUACUUGGGAUUAGUUACUGAUGCUGGAAAAAAACAAAAGACAUUACCACUAAGUUUAAGUCCUUAAUAAGUGGGUACUACUCUAACACUACAUAAGCAAAGAUACGGCAGCAAUUACAAGCAUAAUAUGCACCUAAGAUUCUACUAGUUAAGGCCAACAUUUAAAUUCCAAUUAACAAACUAUCCAUUGCAGAUUUUACUCUUAAAGAAAUAGUAAGCCAAUAUACAUCAAAAUUUAAUCACAAAACUGGAAAAUUGUUUAUUGAUAUUCAGCCUUUCUCAAAAGCAAAUUGAAAUGAAACUUGAUGAAACUUGUAAUGUUUGCAGUAAAAAUUAUUUCAUAGCUUAAGCUUAUUAUAAUUGAAGAAAUUGAGGUUCCAUAAAAUUAAAGGAAAACUAACGAAAAGUCCAAAAAAAACUUUAGUUUUAAUAAAUAAAAAAAUGACAAAUAAAGGUGUAGUGAAUAGUACCAGUGAAAUGUAAAAAUUUGGUUUUUCAUUAAAAGUGAACAGUACCAAAAUGUUUCGUUAAAACUUCCUAAAAUUAAUUAAAAACAUAUAGAAAAUAGCCAAUUAUUUAUAAAUAAAUGCAAUGUUCAUUCUUUUCUUAACGUAAAAUUUAUACUCUCAACAACGAUACAAAAUAAGAUAUACUACAGUCUACAUGUCUCAACAAUUUCCACUCAAACUUGCUUUGAAAAUUUAAAUAGUAUUCACUUUUAGAGUUUAUGGUUUAAACAAGAAAUUUUGAGUCACUUGCUAUUAGUGUUCUUAAAAAGGGUCUAGGCGUUGGGCGGAGGGAGGCCAAGGCGUCUUCUUGCAAAACGGUGGGAAAAAGCAAAUGGGCUCUAGGCGGCCCUAGGCGAAGCUAGGCCCUUUUUUUUUUUUAUGAAAUUGAAAUUGAAAAAAAAAAAUUCCUAUCUUUAUUCUAACUUUCUAAGUUCGCGUUCCCUGCAUGCACCUAUGUUUAUAUCUUGAAAUUUUGUUAAUUUUAUAGAAUAGGUGUGUAUCAACUUAAAUUCCGGGAUGUUAAAGACAAUUACUAUAUUUCCUUAUUUUCCUCCUAUUUUGCAUUUUAUGUGGUUUUAAAUUGUGAACUUGUUGUACAUGUGUCAUCCUACAAUACUCCUCACUAUGAUUAUAUGACAUAUAUGCUUAAUAUGUUUUUUAAAUUUUGGAUUUGUUGGAUACUCUUUUUUGCAUUUUAUCGUUCUUUUAUUAUCUUAUCAUUAGAUUUCAUACAAAUAUAUUUUUUUUGUAAGUGUCAAUAUACACUUAUUUACAAGAAAUUUACUUAAAUCCGUCUAGACACUAAACGCUAACCCGCCGUCCGACUAACGUUUAGCGAAUUUUAGAACCUUGCUUGCUAUAAAAUAGAAGGGGUGUGAUAUCCACACACCCCUUUUUAUUUCUCCCACACAUUUUUUGUUUUCGGCCGUUUGGAUCGAAUGAAUUGAAGAAGAUUAACAUACAGAAAUUCAUAAAAGAUGUGUAAGAAGUAAAAAAAGAUAUGUGAUAGUACAUCCCAAAUAGAAAAUCGGGGUUUCCUUUUUUGUUGUGCGACAGAGAUCUCUCUGUGGCAGACCAAAGAUUUUCUUUUAGUCCGAAACCACAAUACCCACCUUCACGCCCUCCCUACUGACAAAGAGUCUCAAGUUGAUUGAAAGAUAAACUUUAAAAGAGUAUAAGUAAGUUGUACUGUUUUUUAUAUUGCUAUUUGGCUUUUUAUGGAAUCUUAAUUUUUUUUUUUAUGAUAUCAGAGUAGGUUAAUUCAUGUGUAAAGUCCAACGGUUACACAUUCUUCAUGUCACUCAAUUCAUGCCACAUGGUUGCUUUAAAAAUUUGCCACACAUGAGGAGCGUGUGAGAAUAUGAAGAUAAAAAAGUUUAACAUCAAUAAAAGAAGAAAACAUCAAUGAAAGGAGAAAUCUAAUAGACCACCAAUACGAGACUCGUUUACUUUAACACUCAUAACAUUCUGUAUUUGUAGAAUAAUCCCUCCCAAUCCCAUAUGGAUCUUUGCUUUCAGUCUUAAUGCAUUGAUUAUUAUAUGUUAAUUCAUCAUGCGAUUGCAAGCCCUAAUACAUCAUUGUUUAUGAAAUAAUUAAUUAAUAAAUGUAGUGCUAAUCAACUGUGCUAGUGGUGGUCCUUGCAGAGUAAGAUUCAUUGAUGGAAUUGGACUCACUGUCCUAUAGAAAGUGGACGGUGUUGUUUCAAAUGGAAUCAAACCAUGCCGGCUUUCUCUCCCUUCCUUUAGGCUCCAAUCUAUAAUUCAUUUGACAUUGUUGUAAAUCUGUGAAGAGACUUAUCUACAUCUAAUACUCCAUAUGGCGUCACAAAUUCAGCGGCCCAAUAGUGCGAUUAGAUGGUGUCGUGUGAUUCGUACAAAAUAUCACAUAUCGCAAUAGUAUAUGUAGACAAGUAACUUAUAUCUUCGACGAGGUAUUUAAGCUCAUCGCACUUAAGCAAUGAUGAACAAUACCAUCAUAUUAUUUUGUCAUUAGAUGUGUUUAAAUUUUAAAAUAUAUAUUGUACGAAUAUUAAAUCAUACACUCGCUUACAAUCAACACAAUGGUCUCUAACAGCUAUGCCUGCAUUUGCAGACGACACAUUCUCUUCCAAUACUUAUGCAUUGAUAUGAAUUAUUAGUAUUUUUUUACAAAAAUUAAAGCAAGUAAGGAGAGCUUGUAGCUGUAGGAGGCAGGCUUUAACCUGCCAAGUGCAAUGAUAAAUCAUAAAGCAAAAUUACCAAAAAAAAAAAAUCAUAAAGCUAUUUGGAAGUCUGUCUCAAGUGAUUCAUCCUUCAUCAAAAACAUUUGCAGUCAACCACCACAUGCAACAAGACCUACCCAUAUGACUCUUGUUCGUCAACUUUUCUACACAUUUAGCUAAAACCUUCCUCUGUGCUUGCAUUACAUCCAGCUUUCUGUUCAAGUACUGUCUUCUUGCUUUUCAUCUUUUCCUUCAAGACCUUGAAUUAAGUACAAGUCAUCACUUUGACAUCAUUUUCACACAACUUCAACAUUUAUUGAUCACACUACUAAUUGCCUAUUUAGUAAGAGUUUCGUAUACAUAGAUAGAAUUCAACUUUGUUUAUUACAUCAAUCGUCAACAACGUGAUUAGUAAAUAUGGUAUAGAUAAUUGAUUAGAUAUUGACCACAUAACCGGUAUGAGUUAUGCAUACAUGCAUACACAAGUUGAACACAUCAUCUCUGUUAUUUAGAUAUGUCUUCAACAAUGUGUUCAGUAAAUAUAGUGACUAAUCACAUACUGACCAUUUUUCUAUGACAAGAGUCCCACGUACAAUUGGAAUGCACUUGUCUAAAUCCCACGUACAAUUGGAAUGCCCUUGUGUUAUUAGGUUAAUCUUCAACAACGUGGCCAACAAAUAUGAUAUAGAUAGCGUUAAUUUUGGAGUAUGAGAGCAAACAAUAAAGGCAUAAAAUACCAAAAACAAAAGCACAAAUAUUUAGCUCAAUAGCUUUCGAUGAAUUUCAAGUUCAAAAUACCACCACCUACCCAACUAAUGGAAUUGAACAAAAGGCUAUAUAUGGUUAUAGACCCAAAUAUUACCCUUUCAUUUGACACUUAGAGAUCCAUAUGGUAUUAAUCAUACAUACCUUAACCACCAAGUAUAAUUAACCAAUUUAGUAAAUAAUUAUAAGAACUGAAAAUUAAUGGGUGACACUUAAAGAUCCAUAUGGUAUUAAUCUCCCUUUGGUAUGCAAAAGUCAAUAUAUGAUUAAUUUGCAUGCUUUGUAGGGAUACGCAUGCCUUAAAAGUCUCUCUCAAUUAGGAGAGCCAUAUGAUCCGGGCAGAUCAGGCCACUGCUUUGGGUUCAGAGAUGGGCCGCCGCCGCUGCUGCUGGUAGUGGUGGUGGUGGUGGUGGUGGUGGUGGUGGUGGUCCGGGCGCUACGCCAGAAUUACGGAUUGUUUUAUGGCCCAUGGGUCCACGAAACAGAGAGCGUUGAGCUCCAAACUCUGCAAUGAGAUGUCAUUGUAUAUGAAAAGGAGAUGAUUUGGACGUGAACGAUGGAGAGGUUGGAGUGGAGUGCGAUGGUUAUGACAGCUCUGGCGGAGGGUCUAAUCUAUAUCAUAGGCUCAGGAAGAGGGGUACAUAUGGAGCGCAUCUCUGUGGAGUGCCAAACAGACUGAGUUGCUUCCUGAGCGCCCGCACUCAUAAACAGAAGAACUGGUCUUAAAGGCUGGGAGAGAGCGCGUCCGGCAACGCCAGCUCUAUUAGAGAGGAGAGACUGAGUUGGAUAUCUCCGAGCAAGGCAAUCGGUUCGAAAGGUGCAGAGAUCAAUGACCGCCACCAGGACAUGCGCUUGUGAGUGAGACAUGAAAAAUCAAUCUAAUGGAUUUAAGUAAAGCUCUCGCUGUGUAAAUUAGAAAUUAACUCAAAGGUCAUAAUUAUUCAAGACCAACAAUAGGAAUAUUUCGGUAUUUCACACCUUCGUAGGCAUAAACCAUAGAUACAUUAUUUUUAAAGGUAUGGGUUUAUAGCAUGUAACGGUGUUUUUGUUUUUUUCAAUUUCUUUCACAUGUGUACAUUAGUUAUAAUGAAGUUCUUAUUUGAUGUUUGAACUUGCCAACUCCGAAAAAUAUUCGGCUCACGGAGGUCCUGGAGAUUUAAAAAUGCAAAACGACAAUUACCAUCAUCAAAGCAUAAAGGAGUGGAGCGAGAAGAGCAGUUUGCGCGAGUGAGGUCUCCAUACUGCUGAAUUUAGUUCCCAGUGCUGAGAGAUAGACUACAAAUUAGUUUAUUAAUGUUUGCUUUUGGUAUUUUGACGUAAGAAAAAUCCAUAAAGAUACGAAUAAAAAUGUGGUGAUAUGUAUUGUAACAAUAUAAAUCACAUUAAAAAGUUUAGUGAAUUAAACAAUAAGUCACACUGCGAAUUAGUGCUUUAUGGAAUUCAUAAAUAUGGUUCAAUCAGAGACGUUAUAAGAUAGACCAAUUUAAACACAUGAUAAUAUCAAUUUAUAAAGAUUAGCAGAUCGAGAUUAGAGACGGUAAGCCAUUACCGAAAGUAACAAACGAAGCCAGAGCUACUCCAUCUCCUUCAUUGUACAUCGUUAUAGUUGGCGCGAGCCUCCCCCACCAUUCAAAUUCAACCGUCGCCGCUCCCACGCGGACCAUCACCUCCAUUACUGGUCAACUCGCCCACCUGAUUCUAUCCACCCUGCAAUCUCCAUUUUUUAGACCACUGGCAGGUCAAUCUCGGCCACGCUCGUUUGUUUCCUGUGUCUCUGUGAGAGUUGGGUGCAUUUGAAUUCAAAUAAGUUAGUGGAUUCAGUACUUGAUGCGUUGCGAGAUUGGUCUGCGAGUUGGCUUCGUGUGAGUUGUGCCAUCUGCUCUGAUUAGAAAUAGUUUUUGUGGAUUCACAUGUGUUCGGGUUCUGUGGGAUUCAAUACACCGGCACGUUGCUUGUGUUCCGGUUCUGCGAUUGUGGCAUUUUGAUCACACCACUCAGGUUGGUGUAGUCGCUAUCAGACAUUUGCAGACACAGUGAUCUGAUUAUUCCGGUUCCAUGUGGAUUCAGAACUUCGUUUGCAGUUGUCUGAGUUUAGCUUGGGUUCUAUGAUUUGGUGUAUUGAGAUCAAAUAGACUUUGGAGGAAAAUUCAUAACUACUAGCAGACGAGAGGUGGUGCCUGUCUUGAGUUCGGUGAAUUACAGAUCUUCGCCGGGGCCGCCUGCAGUUCUGUUCCCUGUGCCCACAGGAUCGAGUCCUUGCGUUGCGACAAUUCCAUCAAAAAAUUUGAAAUUUGAACCUCAAUCAUUUUUUACAAUUUUCUAAAAAAAAAAAAAAAAAAAAAAAAAAAAAAAAACUUAAGAGAGAGAGAAAGAGAGAGAGACAGAGAGGGUCUGACAACGAAAUCCUGAUACAAAAUCCUCAAAACCCCAUACGAAGCUAAGUGUCUGCCUACCGACCCAACCGACACUCAAAAUUCAAAAUUUGAACUUCCUCUCCUCUUGUUCCUCCAACUGAACUGAAAUUCCUAAAAUUCAAACAAACCUCAGAAAAUAAAAAAUCUUCAUCUAAUAUGGUCCCAAUCCCAAAUGGCCGCCGCCAAUUCUUUUAAUUCCUCGAUUCCCUCCACUCCUUCUCCACUCUCAUCUGUACACACGCUCCUCCUCUUUAUCCCUACCAUUUCUUUCUCUUUAACUUGUAAUUUCAUGUUUGUAAAUCUUUUAAAAAUGUUUUCAACUUGGAACUUGGCUGUUCUUCAUAACCAAAUCUACUGACUUGAGAUCGAUCGUCCUCUGUCGAACCUUGGCAGUGAUCGCAAUCCCAAAAAGUUUCGAAGCUGAAAGCCCUAAUUGUUCGAUUUCGGUGUUUCUCAACCCUAAAAAGUUUGAAUCCUAAGCUCUGGAAGUUGAACUACGGUGAUGCGACGGUGGAGUACGAUCAGAGUUCAGAAGGGAGAGUCUGCGAGCUUUAAUUGUGAACUUUGGGUUCCCUCUCUCUCCGGAGUGCGAUCAAACACUUCCUUUCUUUUUCUUUGGAGGGUAUUUUGGUGUUUCCAUGGAUUUUAUAAUGACUUAAAGCUUUUGUGGCAUUCAUCAUUGAUCUAAGCCAAGUUAAUAAAAAUAUAUCAUUGAUUAAGUCCAAAAUAAAAAUAUGUCAUUGAUAUAUGGCUUAAUAGUAAAGUUUUUAUUGACCUUUGGCUAAAUUACCUUUAAAAAAAA